CUCCGGUUGGACUUGGAUGUCGGGUUUGACGUCAUGAGGGCGGUUGAAGGCGGAGAGAGCCCGCUCAAUGUUGGAGUUGAUGAGCUCGGCUCGGGCACGGUCACUUGCGAGCCGGGAGAGUACGAGGUCGGAGUAGCUGUCGUAUGGCGGCUUUAUGACGGAUGAAUGAGGAUGCAGGGAGAGGGACAAAACGGAGGAGGUGGAGGUGGGCUGAGUUUCUUCUGUUGACAAGAGUCGAAGUCUCUUGAAAACUGAAGCAGACACCACUUGAGGUGAAAAAGGACUGAGGGUGAAGGAGAAGAAGAAGAAGAUGAUGAUGAAGAUGUUAAUGGAAGGAAAUGGGCUUGGAGCUUUUCGAGCCAUGUAAAUGUUUGUGGUUUUUGCCGCAGCAGACAACAAACAAAGAAGACAAGUGAUGAGAAGUUUGGGAGAUGAGCAUGGGUUUAUUAUAUACACGUACGUCGAUCUGCAUGCAGGGCAUCAGUAGCGUAUUACUAUUAUUUAUUAAAGGUACAUAUCACAAAGGUCCAGGGGCGGAUUUAAAGGGGGGCACUGGGGGCACGGUCCCCCACUGCCCCCUUAAAUUCCUAUAAUACUCUUAUAAUUUUGACAUAAUUUUAGUGGUGUCUCUAGAAUUUUUUUUAAAAAAAAUAUAAAAGAAUGGGUCAUAAAAUUUAUAUCAUUCACUUUCCUCCUUUAAGAACCAAAUACCAAUUAUAUCAGUCAUUACUUUUGGUCCCCACUCCCCAAGUUCCCUUUACUCCUGUGGUCCCCUAUUUCACUUCACAACCCACGACUCCUCUUCUUCUGCACCCAACUAACUACUCUUUCUUUUUAUUACUUCAUCCAAUCAUCAUUAAUCAUUUACUUCCUUUGUCCCCCACUCUCCAAUUUUUCUUUGCUCUUCUGGCUCUUAGUUGUCCCCACUGAAAAUGGUCUCUCCCAUCAAAUAGUCCAAUCCUGGUUUUCCUGUCAUGAAAAUGGUGUUGUUGACUUCUUCACGCAGUCACGCAGUGUUCCAUUAAAGGAGUAAGCUUUUUGAAAACCAGGACCUGCUUUCUUCAGUUCAACUGCAAGAAACCAGUCCUUGAAGCUGACUUCUUUCCAAUUAAAUAACGUGAUACGGGGCACAAAGGAAGUAAAGGGACCUAGUCCGCCACUGAUUUGCAACUCUUUUCACCAAUUUUGGGAGACCAUCAAAAUUAGGUUCUAAACAAUUACUUCUUGUUAUUAUUUUAAAUUUGUUUGCAAAUAUAUUUCUAGAGCAUGAGACUAUUACUAUUUUAGAGAAAUUUGAAAAUUGAUUAGUUAAUGUAAUAACUAAUAAAUGGGUUAUUUGAUAAAUAUUUUAACUUGUGAAAUGGUGAUUUUAUAGAUUUAUAAUUUAUAAUUUAUUUUCCUUGAUUAGUUUCUUAUUUGGAGUUAAUGUAAUGAUGAAUAGAGGGCCAUUUGACAUAUAUUUUAACUUUUAAAUUAUUCUUGUAUGGAUCCUUUUGUCUAAUUAAAUUGAUUAGGUUCAUAUAUUGUGAUUAAUGAUUUGAUAUAGUAAUAAAUAAAUAAGUUGUGAUUUGAUAUAGUAAUGAUAUGUUGUGAUUAAUGAUUUAAUAAAUAACUUUAACUUGUAAAAUAGUUCUUGGAUAGAUUAUUAGAUUUUAUUGUACAUUUAAUAUUUUAAUUGGAUUAGUAUCUUAUAUAUUGAUUUUGAUUUCUUUAGCUAUGGAGAGAUAUUUCAAGAGGAAAUCAAUGGAAAAAGAGUCAUCUAAUAAAGAAGAAGCCAAGGAUAAUGAAAGUGCAAAAAAUGACAAUAAAAGAAGUUACUUGGAAAUUAACUUAGAUGAAUUACCUGCGGAUCCAGCCCAAAGAAAAAAAAUUGGGGAUUAUCAUCCAAACCUUCAAGAUGAAAUUCGGAGAUAUUGCUUACAAAAGGGACCAUGUCAACCUCAUGAGCAUGUUUUUCCACAAAGAAAGAUAGGAAAAAAGAUGCGUCGAUUUGUUCGGGGCUGGUUUGAUGAUUACAAGAAUUGGUUAGAAUAUAGUAUUGAAAAAGAUGCCGCUUAUUGCUUAUGUUGUUAUCUAUAUAGACCAGAUGUGGGUGAACAAUCUGGUGGUGAUAGUUUCAUUAAGGAAGGAUUCACAAAUUGGAAAAAAAAAGGAUAGAUUUGAUGUUCAUGUUGGUGGUCCUAAUAGUGCACACAAUCUGAGUUGGAGUAAAUGUCAAAGUUUAUUAAAUCAAAAUCAGCAUAUCGAAGUGGCAUUUUUUAAGCAAUCACAGAAAAUGAAGGCUGAGUAUCGGACUCGUUUAUUAGCCUCAAUAGAUUGUGCUAGAUUUCUCCUACAUCAAGGUUUGGCUUUUCGUGGUCAUGAUGAAUCUGAUACCUCUGAAAAUCAGGGAAAUUUUCUUGAACUUUUGCACUUCCUUACGGGUCAUAAUGAUGAUAUAAAGAAGGUUGUUCUUGAAAAUGCCCCUAAAAAUCUCAAACUCAUUGCUCCAGAUAUUCAAAAGGAUAUUUCAAAUGUUUUGGCGAGUGAGACUACAAUCAUUAUUGUAAAUGACAUUGGACAUGGAUUGUUUGCUAUUUUAUGUGAUGAAUCUCGUGAUGCAUCAACAAAGGAGUAAUUAGCAGUUGUUAUCCGUUACAUGGAUUCACAUGGAUAUGUGAUUGAGCGUUUUCUUGGUAUUCUACAUGUAAGAGAUACUACUGCUCUUUCACUUAAGAAAGCAAUUGAUGAUUUAUUUUCAAAGCAUGGUUUGAGCAUAUCACAAAUCCGUGGUCAAGGUUAUGAUGGUGCUAGUAACAUGCGAGGUGAAUAUAAUGGUUUAAAAACUUUGAUCAUGAAGGAAAAUGGUUCUGCAUAUUAUAUUCAUUGUUUUGCACAUCAGCUGCAAUUCUCACUUGUAAGGGUUGCAAAGAAACAUGUCCAAGUCUCUUCUAUGUAUAAUACAUUGUCUACCUUAGUGCAUGUUCUUGAAGGUUCAUCUAAAAGACAAGAAAUUCUUAGAGAACAACGCCUUAAGAAAGUCGUUGAUGAUCUAAUGACUGGAGAUCUUGUGAGUGGUCGGGGCUUAAAUCAAGAAACUAGCCUUCAAAGAGCUUGUGAUACACGUUGGGGUUCACAUUUUGGCUCGUUAUUAAAGUUGGUUCUUAUGUAUGAUUCUGUAAUAGAUGUUCUUUUGAUAAUUGAAAAUGAUGGCCUGGUGGAGCAAAGAGGUCAAGCAUAUGCACUUCUUAAUUCUUUGCAAUCUUUUGAAUUUGCAUUUAUUUUACACUUGAUGAAGAAAAUCAUGGGAAUAACGAAUGUACUAUCUGAAGCAUUACAAAGGAAGGAUCAAGAUAUUGUGAAUGCUAUGGGUCUGGUCAAAGUUUCUAAGCAACAGUUACAAGCUACUAGGGAAGAUGGAUGGGAUUUUUUACUUGAUGAAGUUUGUUUGUUUUGUGAAAAACAUGAGAUCAUCAUUCCGAAAAUGGAUGAAAUGUUCAUUACUAGUGGGAGAUCUCAAAGAAAAGUUCAGUAAAUUGCAAACCUUCACCACUAUCGAGUUGAGCUAUUUUGUGCUGUCAUAGAUUUACAACUCCAAGAACUCAACAAUCGUUUCAAUGAAAUCAAUAUGGAGUUGCUUUUGUGUAUGGCAUGCUUGAACCCAAGUGAUUCCUUUGCAGCAUUUAAUAAGAAAAAGUUGAUUCGUCUUGCAGAACAUUAUCCUUGUGAGUUUUCUAAGUUGGAUAUUCUUGCACUUGACACUGAAUUGGAUACUUAUAUUAAUGACUUGAAAUCAGCUAAGGAAUUUCUCGAUUUAAGAAAAAUCCCUGAUCUAGCUCAAAGGUUGGUGGAGACUAAGAGAGAUAUUGUGUAUCCAUUAGUUUAUAUGCUCUUAAAGUUGGCUUUGAUUUUGCCUGUUGCUACAGCUACAGUAGAAAGAGCUUUUUCAGCUAUGAAUAUAGUGAAGAAUCGGUUACGAAAUAGAAUGGGAGACACUUGCAUAAAUGAUUGUUUAGUUACUUAUAUUGAGAAAAAUAUACUUCGUGAAGUUGAAAAUGAGAAAGUUGUAAAUCGUUAUCAAAAUAUGAAAACUCGUCGUGAACAAUUGUAAAUAGUUUAGUUUGUUUUUGAAAUAAAAUUAUUAUUACAUUAAUAAUUUUGAGUUUGUCUUUUUAUGUUUUUCAUGGAAUAUACAUAUCAUUUGUACUUGUUAGUGAAUUUAUUUAUUUUUUGCUCAAAAAAUUAAAAAAAAAAGAGUAGAUAAAAAAUUUUAGUGUUAUUUUUGCUCCCACUGAGAUUUUUUUCUGGCUCCGGCACUGCAAAGGUCCAUAUCAUUUAAUUUCCAUAGAAAAGUAAAAGUUUGGUACCUUAACAUACACAAUUAAUCACCAGUCCUUCAAAUCAAGAUAUGUACAAUGUGUAAGUGAGAAUGUACAACUGAUAUUCCUAGUCUACUCUACGAGUAUCGUUACCGUAUGAAAGAAAAGGAAAGAACGAGAAGAUUUUAACAACCUUUAGUAGGCUUUUUUUUUUAAUCGACAUUUUGAGUUCUGGGAGGGAAGACUUUUUAGAGUCUUGCAGGAGUCCGUCUAAAGGGUAUUUGGAAAAUUCGACUGUCUAAUAAUCGAAUACAAUGGUGGUUCUUUCUUUCCUUUUUUUUCCUUUUUUUUUUUUUGAAUAUUUGGUACAUAGAGGUUCCAACUUUUACAAGGAGAAAGAAAAAUAGGAGAGUUUAAGGGUCAAGACCUUACGGUCAGUCACCUAAAAGCAUCCGUGCCAAUUGAGUUGAGUUUUGGGAACAAAAUUUUGGCCUUUCCAUUAUAGCAGGAUACAACUAAAUGCCCGGAUUAAUUAACUCAAUUUCCAUAAAUUUAAAAAAAAAGAGUAAGAAAUUGGUACCUCUGAUCAAUUCCAAGGGUAGAUAUAUAAUAUAAUUAUUAGUCCUUCAAAUGGAGACGAGUGUCAGUAGACUUAAAAGGAGUCCAUGAUAUUGAUAGUUGGUCUUUUGGUCACAAUAAUUAUUUCGAGAUGUUUGAUUCUUACUACCCGCCACCACUACUACCCGCCACCACCACCCACUCCUUCCUCCUUUCUCUUCCCCCUCUCUCUUCCCUUUCCCUCCCCCCGCCCCCCUUAAUCUGGCCGCAACCAAAGGCUGCGAUCUGGUCGCGGCCAGAAAGUCUGGUAGCGACUAGAUUGCGGCCUCUAGUCACAACUAGAGACCUUGAUCUGGUCUUUGGCAGAUUGAGGGAGGAAGAAAAUGGAGGGGGGGUAUUGGUGGUAGGCGGGGAUGGUGGUGGGUGGUGGGUGGUGGUGGCGGGUAGUAGUGGUGAUACGUGGAAAAUGUUAUAUAAUUCAAUUUAAAAAAAUUUUUUGUGUGUAUUUGUGAAUUAUUUUUUAUAUAUUGUAUGGAUAUGAUGUUUUUGAGUUGUUUUUAUUUGUGUAUUAUUCUAACAUUGUAUUUGAAAAUUUUAUUUUUGAAAAAUAGAUUUUUGGAUUUUUUGGUAGAAAAAUAUACUAUAUCAAUUUGAUGUAUGUGAGAUAAAAAUAAGUGUUUGAAAAUAUGAUCAUGAAAAAUAUAAAAAAAAUUCUGCAGAAAAACUUCAAGGAAUUUCUCGAGAAAAAGAAAUCCAAAAUCCUAAUUUUUUUUUCCUUUUGUUUUUAGAAAAGGAAAAAGUGCAAGCCAAAAAGCAAUAAAAUGGAUAACUUCUUUUCAUAUGAAUAUAUGAUGUUAAGUACUUUAUUUACUCAUAAAACCCAUAUUUUGGUUUAAGAAAAGCAAUACCUAAUGAAAUUGUAAAAUGAGAACGGUAACAAAGAUUAUAGUCUAAAGUACUCGUUUGAUAGGCUAGUGCAAUUUGGCGUUUCACUUGUACGCUUCAAAUGCACAUUAUCAAUCAGGCAUCCGGACGCUUGGCUAUGCAACUUGAACAAUCAUCACAUGUAGAACUGACUUUAUUCUAGUAUUUUAUAGGAAAAUAUGUACUCAAUUAGCCUGAAGUGAAUUAAAUCAUGAUUGUCAGCAUUUUAAACUUUUGAUGGUGAAGGCCUUAAUUGCUUGACAACUCCCAUGAUUAUUAUGGCUAAACUACUCAAGUUGCCUCGUUAUACUUCCAAAAAAAAAAAAAAUCUCAAUUCAAUCUUAACACUAAGAAGUGACUUGAUUUAAUCCCUUGGAAAUAACUCAUGUCAUUUUUAUGUUGAAUUAGUAGCCAAAAGAUUUAAUCGUGUAUUUUCAAUAGAACGGGGUGUAUGUGUUAUAUCAACGAUAUAUUGUUGAUGAUCAGACUAUAUGAAUUCCAAUUCUUUCAGCAAAGGUGAUAUCCAAACAACAAAAUUUCUUCAAAGACAUCUAAUAAAGAGAUUACCAAGCACCCAUGUUAUUGUUUAAGCAAUAUUAGUAUGUUUUCAUAAACAGCAUUUUAUUUGGGUUGAAAUCAAAUCAACACCUAUAUGCAUUUCAUAAACAGCAUUUUAUGAGGGAUGAAUGAGGAUGUAGGGAGAGGGACAAAACGGAGGAGGUGGAGGUGGGCUGAGUUUCUUCUGUUGAGAAGAGUCGAAGUCUCUUGAAAACCGAAGCAGAUACCGCUUGAGAUGAAAAAGGACUGAGGGUGAAGAAGAGGAAGGAGAGGAUGAUGAAGAUGUUAACGGAAGGAAAUGGGCUUGGAGCUGUUCGAGCCAUGUAAAUGUUUGUGGUUUUUGCCGCAGCAGACAACAAACAAAGAAGAGAAGUGCUGAGAAGUUUGGGAGAUGAGCAUGGGUUUAUUAUAUACACGUACGUCGAUCUGCAAGCAGGGCAUCAGUAGCGUGUUACUAUUAUUUAUUAAAGGUCCAUAUCAAAAAAAAAAAAAAUUUUUUGAUAACAAAGGUCCAUAUCAAUUUAAUUUCCAUAGAAAAGUAAAAGUUUGGUACCUUAACAUACAAGAAGGAGAGUACAUACACAAUUAAUCACCAGUCCUUCAAAUCAAAGAUAUGUACAAUGUGUAAGUGAGAAUGUACAACUGAUAUUCCUAGUCUACGAGCAGGGGCGGAGCCAGAAAAAAUUCUUAGUGGGGCAAAGCAACACUAAAAUUUUUUACCUACUAUUUUUCUAGUUUUUUAAACAAAAAAAAAAUUCACCAACAAGUACAAAUGAUGCAUAUAUUCCAUGAAAAACAUAAAAAGACAAAUUCAAAAUUAUUAAUGUAAUAAUAAUUUUAUUUCAAAAAUAAAUUAAACUAUUUACAAUUGCUCACUGCGAGUUUUUAUAUUUUGAUAACUAAUUUGGUUGUGGAAGUAAGAAUGGCUCUCGGUUGUGGAGGGAAAAUGGGGGACUAGUGGAGGGAAGGGAAAUUGGAAAGUGGGGACAAAGGAAGUGAAUGAUAUGAUUGGAUGAAUUGAUCAAGAGAAAGAGUAACUAGCUGCUUGGUUGUGGAAGGUAGUGGCUCUCGGUUGUGGGGGGAAAAUGGGGGACCAGAUGAGGGAAGGGAAAUUGAGGGAUAGGGUCCAAAGAAAGUGAAUGAUAUGAUUGGUACUUGCUAGUUAAAAUGAAAAUGAUUUUUUUUAGCUUAUUUCAAAUGAAAUUUGUGCCCCAGGUAUCAUUUUAGAAUUUUAGUUUAUGAACUAAUUUAAAAAAAUCACGUAAUUCUUUCAUAUUCUUCUAAAAAAAAAACUGUAGGGGUACAUUUAAAAUUAUAUUAAAAUUGUACAAGUAUUAUAGGAAUUUAAGAGAGACAGUGGGGUCCCGUUGCCCCCAGUGCCCCCAUCAAAUUGGAAUUUACGGUGGAAACAAGGUAGAUGCGCCGACGGCAGCUGGUGUUUCAUUUUCAUGAUGCAGACUGGGGAAAUUUUGGAGCAUUAUGCAUCCAUGCCAUUAGAUAUAUAGUGGGCUUGAUGUUAUACAAUGCAAAUUUUCUUUAAAAAAAAACUUUAAAUCAAAAUAAAUCUUGACCUAUCAAUUAUUGAUUUAAGCUAUCAAAACAUUGGCAUGUAACAUGCAAAUAAUCGUUGCUCAUAGGGCAUCAUUCCUUUCCGUCUCACACGCAGAUUAGUCCAUUGGUGGUUCUUUCUUUCCUUUUUUUUUUUUUUUUUUGAAUAUUUGGUACAUAGAGGUUCCAACUUUUACAAGGAGAAGGAAAAAUAGGAGAGUUUAAGGGUCAAGACCUUACGGUCAGUCACCUAAAAGCAUCCGUGCCAAUUGAGUUGAGUUUUGGGAACAAAAUUUUGGCCUUUCCAUUAUAGCAGGAUACAACUAAAUGCCCGGAUUAAUUAACUCAAUUUCCAUAAAUUUAAAAAAAAAGAGUAAGAAAUUGGUACCUCUGAUCAAUUCCAAGGGUAGAUAUAUAAUAUAAUUAUUAGUCCUUCAAAUGGAGACGAGUGUCAGUAGACUUAAAAGGAGUCCAUGAUAUUGAUAGUUGGUCUUUUGGUCACAAUAAUUAUUUCGAGAUGUUUGAUUCUUCGUAAUGUGGAAUAACUUUCCUCCAGACAUUCUAAAGAAACAUGAUGGAACAAGUUGCUGUUUGUGAGGUCGUAUUAAUCCUGGUGGGAACCUCUCUUGCGCAAGGAUUUUUGGGUAAUGAAUUGAUCUUUCCACAAAAACAAGUAUUUUUAUGUUUUCCUUCAUUUGUGUUCAAUUCAAUUCUCUAUAAUAUAUAUUAAUAGUACUAUUUAUCUAGAGGGGGCACCUUCAUGAAUGGACUAUCUCUAGAGGUUCUCCUUCACAUUUGACGCGCAGAUUACGCCAUUAGGCAAUUCGGGCGACUGAGCGGUCAACACAAGGCGACAUCAAAACAGUUGCGCAUUUGGCCCACCAGUACUAUGCAACCAAUCAAACUACUCCGGUCUUGAUUUAUUUUCUUCAGUUUCCAUUUCAUCUACUUCUCCACUGAACCUCUAGAGAAAGCUCAGUCGUUAACUUUGCUUGUCUGUUCAAACGUCUAACAUCAAAAUUAGAAUUUAAAUCAAAACCUUAAAGUGGGAACAAAGUGCCAUCUUUUAAAAACAAAAAAAAAACUAAUACAUCGAAACGUAAAAUUGAUAUAAUAGAUGGGAGAAAUUUCUUCGAAACUCCAAAAUGUGAUUCUCGAGUAGAUUAAUGCAAGUCUUAUAAAUUGAUUACAUUUUCAAUCAAUUCAAUUUCAGGGUAAACAUGCAACAUGCCCAAGUAUAGCUCUGCCCUGGUUUUCACGGUACAACCACUUUUUCGUUCUCAAAGAAGUCAUUAGCAUACUAAAGAAAGAAAAGGACCUAAAAGGAAAAAGAAAAGGAUCUAAUUAUACUAAGAAUCACAAAAGUUAGUUUGGUUGAGAAAAGGAAGUAGUACUUUAGAACAAACAAAGGUAGACGAUGAGAUCCUCAAAAUAUCAUAACUAUGAAAACAUUUAGUAUAUAUUUAUAUAUAUGAAGAACAACAUUUAUUUGGGUUGAAAUCAACUAUAUAUACAUAUAAAUAUAUAUAUAUAUAUAUAUAUAUAUUCUAGUAGUAGCACUAGAGGGAGGGAGUGCUCUAACAUUUAUUGGCAAGGUCGUAAGUGACCCGCAUCCCUUGCUGCUGUAUAUUCCCAAGAAGAAAUCCAAAAUCCUAAUUUUUUUUUCCUUUUGUUUUUAGAAAAGGAAAAAUGAAAGCCAAAAAGCAAUAAAAUGGAUAACUUCUUUUCAUAUGAAUAUAUGGUGUUAAGUACUUUAUUUACUCAUAAAACCCAUAUUUUGGUUUAAAAAGAAAAGCAAUACCUAAUGAAAUUGUAAAAUGAGAACGGUAACAAAGAUUAUAGUCUAAAGUACUCGUUUGAUAGGCUAGUGUAAUUUGCCGUUUCACUUGUACGCUUCAAAUGCACAUUAUCAAUCAGGUAUCAGGACGCUUGGCUAUGCAACUUGAACAAUCAUCACAUGUAGAACUGACUUUAUUCUAGUAUCCUAUAGGAAAAUAUGUACUCAAUUAGCCUGAAGUGAAUUAAAUCAUGAUUGUCAGCAUUUUAAACUUUUGAUUGCGAAGGCCUUAAUUGCUUGACAACGCCCAUGAUUACUAUGGCUAAACUACUCAGGUUGCCUCUUUUUAUACUUCCAAAAAAAAAAAAUUUAUCUCAAUUCAAUCUUUAACACUAAGAAGUGACUUGAUUUAAUCCCUUGGAAAUAACUCAUGUCAUUUUUAUGUUGAAUGAGUAGCCAAAAGAUUGAAUCGUGUAUUUCCAAUAGAACGGGGUGUAUGUGUUAUAUCAACGAUAUAUUGUUGAUGAUCAGACUAUAUGAAUUCCAAUUCUUUCAGCAAAGGUGAUAUCCAAACAACAAAAUUUCUUCAAAGACAUAUAAUAAAGAGAUUACCAAGUACCCAUGUUAUUGUUUAAGCAAUAAACAGCAUUUUAUUUGGGUUGAAAUCAAUUCAACACCUAUAUGCUUUUUAACAUUUAUUUGGGCUGAAACCAUACAUCUUGUUGGCAAGGUCGUAAGUAACCCGAAACCCCUGCUGCUGCGUGUUGCCAAUUACUGAGCGAGGUUGAGAAGUGGUCUGGAAAGCCAAACAGAACGUGCCGUCGGAAUCAGCACGAAACAGGUAAUUUUGAGGUUUCAGCGGCAGCGUCUUGCCCCCGGAGAACUGAAACGACAUCAUUGGGAAGCCAUCUCUGGUAGGCGUAGAGGAUAGAUCAUAACAAGUGUCGAGACCACCGAUCCCAGCGGCGGGAGGCAACUUUUUAGCGUACUUAACAAAGGUGUCGCGGACCGAGUUAUAUACCUGAGCUGGCAACGCUGUGAUGGUGGUACCCGAGUCGACGAUGAUUCCCCCACGCCCAUCUUCGCCUAUUUGAUAAGCCGAUGCAGGAAUGGGCACUUGUUCUCCAUUAAUGGUGAUCCCCGUGAGUUCCACGUAGUAAUAAAUCUCAGAUUUUGGGUUCAUAAUCAAAGGAACGAGGAUUGAGUCACCAGGUGGAGCUGAGUUAAACUCGAGAGUCGAGGACGAGCUGGAGUCCAAAUCCACGAGGCAGUAGGAGAAAGACUUCGCCUGAAUUUGAGAAGGAAAGCCUACUGCAGUGCCCCCAAGGCCGAGUAUGCCAGCUGCCUUGCCAAAUUGGCCUUGAUUCGCGUGCCCGCACCCGAUAGCCACUUUCUGAACCGAACCCGAACUCCCGAACGACACCGUUUCAGUGGCAAAUUCUCCAAUACUGAUGGAAUUAUCCCCGUACAACGCUCCGUAGAUGCAAGUGUUGUUUCGGCCGCACUGGUAAUUCUGGCGGCUCAAGGCGGUGCACUGCUGCGAUGUGCAGGAUAAAGGGCUGUAAGACGAGGAUCCGGAUGGGUCGAAUAUCGGGUCGGUUUGGGCGUAGCACUGACCGCAGGGCAGGCAUUGGAGCCAGUUGAUUUGGCUGCCCGUAUCCGCUAUCAGGUAGUAUUCUUUCACGGGUUGGCCCACUCCGACCCGAGCCACGUACCCUCCGCCAGACGGAGUCAGCGGAGCUUCGAGGUCCUCCGGUUGGACUUGGACGUCGGGUUUGACGUCAUGAGGGCGGUUGAAAGCGGAGAGAGCCCGCUCAAUGUUGGAGUUGAUGAGCUUGGCUCGGGCCCGGUCACCUGCGAGCCGGGAGAGUACGAGGUCGGAGUAGCUGUCGUAUGGCGGCUUUAUGACGGAUGAAUGAGGAUGCAGGGAGAGGGACAAAACGGAGGAGGUGGGCUGAGUUACUUCUGUUGAGAAGAGUCGAAGUCUCUUGAAAACUGAAGCAGAUACCGCUUGAGGUGAAAAAGGACUGAGGGUGAAGGAGAAGAAGAAGAAGAGGAUGUUAAUGGAAGGAAAUGGGCUUUGAGCUUUUCGAGCCAUGUUUGUGGUUUUGGAGCAGAAGAGAAGAUGGAAGAGAAGUGAUGAGAAGUUUGGAACGAGCAAGGGUUUAUAUACACGUACGUCGAUCUGCACGUAGGGCAUGUGGUUAAUUAAGACAAGGCUGCAUUCACAUUUUAUUUAUUUAUUUUUUUGUUGAGGAUAAGUUCAAAUUGAAUUACGGUAGAAAACGAUGAUCAGACACAACCAGACGCUUCUUCCCUGAAGAAAUGAAGAGAAAAUUAAAGUAGUAGCAGUUGCUUAACGAUAGUACGUAGUAAUUCAGAUGCUUCGUAUAUAUGGAGAAGCAGUCUGAAAAAAUGGCCCCUCACAAAUAUCACCAUAUUAACCAUCCUCUUUUAACUUUUUAAGAGCGAAGACUUAGAGGAGCGUAGACAUGAUAGUUGGUCCUUCUGGUGGGCAUUGGUCACAAUAAUUAUCUUAAUUAUGGCAUUGAAUAUGAUGGAAAAUUGGAAUUGCAGUGGCUAGGGAACAAGAAGGCUUUGAAGGUAGAUGGACGAACGGCAACAGACAACUCAGUUUGAUCUUUGAUGAAGAGCAAAUAUAUAUUGGCUCGGCUGCAGGGUUAUACCUAAUUAGAAAUAAUUAGGGUUAAUAUAAAAAAAAAAAAAACCCACAGAAAAUUGCCAUCUGCCAAUCACACUGAUUACUGUGACUUCCUUGUUUCCGAUAGUCAUGCCUUCGUUAUCUAUAGUUAAAUGGUGGGUGCUAUGGAUUAAUAUAUAUAUAUAUAUAUAUGCAAGUAAUAAUUUUUCGUAAAGAAAUGUUUAAGGGUUUUACGUAAAAACCCUUAAAAAAAAAAGAAAUCUUCAAAGGUUUUACAUGCAAAUUCUUUCCCCAAGAGUUGUGGAACACAAGGAAUUACGUGGCUCUCUAAACUCACCACUUGGGAUCCUCGGUGACAUGUUUUUUAUGCCAACCCAAUGUCACCAAUAGUGUUACGCCAAGUGUCUUGUUAUUAAUUACACUUUAAUUUUCUAAUAAUUCAACUUGGCUUGAUUUAACACAAAUAUAAAUAAUAACAAGACACUUGGCGCAAUACUAUUGGUGGCAUUGAAUUGGCAUAGAAAACAUGUCACCGAUGAUCCCAAGUGUAAACUCACACGGUCCGCAAUUUUACCUGCAUGGUCCAGGUCCAUCUCUAAGAAGAAGAGACAGUACAAUUGUAAUUUUUUUUUUUGUAUAAUAUAAUGAAUGCGAUGGCCCUUUCUUUGAACAGAGAAAAAUUCUGCAAAUACCGUAGACGUUCAUCUUGACAUAUAAGCCAUACUUGAAAUCAAAGUAAUAUCCCAUGCAUCAGAGCUUACUAGCUAGUAUUAUUGAUUUGAACAAUAAAAUCAAGGGAGUGGAGUGUAAAAUUCAGAUAAUCGUUUUUCAUGCCAUGCAGAUUAGGCCAUUAGGCGAGUAAGCGGUCAACGGUAAUCAAAACAGUUGCACAUUUACAAUUUAGUCCACUCGUCAACCAAUCAGACCAUUUCUUCUUCUUCUCCAUUUGAUUUAACCUAGAGAAAGUCUAGUCGUCAUUCGUUAAUGCUCUUUCUAGUUUAAAUGUCUUAACAGGAUUGAAUUAAAACAUAAAAUGAAACGAAAUUCUCCCUUUUGCUUUUCUUUUCUUCUCUUCUUUUUUUUUUUUUAAAAUUUGGGGAUAAUUUCAUUCAAUGAAAAUUGCACUAAUAGCAGUAAAUAACAUCAAAAUGUGCAAGGAAUGCAACAGACAGAAGGAAUUUUCUUCUAUUUCGAAGAAUUAAGACAAUCCAAAUUGUGAUUCUCAAAUAGACUAAUGCAAGUUUCAUAAACUGAUUAGAAUUUUGAAUUAUUAGCUCUAUUUGCUAGUAAGAAAAAAAAACACCUAGACCAAAGCAAUAGAAGAGAAAGAACGAAAGGCCAACUAGAAAAUUACUAUCAAGUUAAAGUUGUAAAUUUCCGUUGAUAUUAUCAAAUAUUAUCAAGUUUCAUUAAACUAAGGUUGUACACUUCCGUUAUUUCUAUUGGCCGAUUAUCAAAGUGGCGAUGUCAAAGACAAUAUCAAUCAGGCUGUCGGUCUAACUUAUUUCAUUUAACGAUUUGUUUUAUGUGUUGAAUCAUUCUGCAAGCAAAGCCAAUGGCGACUAGUCGAUCAAUCAGACAUCCAAAGAAGUUAACCUUCUUUGCAAGCUGAUGUGACUGCCAAGAACCAGAUCCGAACUGAGCUGUAUCGAGCCGAGCUGAUCAGGCGCAAGCGACCUAGAAGUGGAAACCGAGCUAAUGCACCUACAAAGAAAGAUCAAGUGCGGGACUGGUGUCCCCGGAAUAACUCCGACGGCCAAGUUAGUCAAGCUUGUCCACGGAGUAAUAGUAGAGAAUACUUGUGUAUGCGUACCUUGUAUUGUCCCUAGGCAUGGUUUAUAUAGGGCAGAGUGGGUUGUAGUUUCCUUGUGGAAGUCAGAAUCCCCGUAGGGUUCGGAGUCUUCUUAGGGUUUCGUGCGGCGGCUCCUACAAGUUCGGAGGCGGCGGCCCAUAGGCCCAUCUCAGGGAUCGACAAGUAAGGCCGAGCUGGCAUCCACAUGCCGAGCUAGCGCCUGCGAGUCGUGAGGUCUCCACCGUCGACCUGACGCGCACAACCUGCUGAGCUGACACGUGUCACGUGCAGAUUUGCCCCACUACACUAGCCCCCUUGAGUCUAGAGUCACUGAUGAGUCACGUGGGUCUGGACCAAACUUCGAAGCGUCACGUCGGCUUCGUGCGGGACCCACGAUCCCACGAUCACGUACCUCCUCCGAAAAACUGCCACGUCCGCCGUCGUAACCGUCACUUCAAGGGUCACGUCCGUCAUGAUGGAGGUUUGUCAGCUCAAGCGUCUUCCAAGGUAACCGCCCCCUUGCAAUAAGUUCGAAUUUCUUUCUCAGGACUCUUCGGCUUCCCGCCCAGGGAGCCUAUAAAUAGGCCCCACCAAACGUCACUUUCAAGCCUCCCCUCUCAUUUUCUCUUCUCCUCCAGUCUUCUUCAGCUCGCUCCGCAUUCCGUGAGGUCGUCCGAGAGUAGGAUUACCUUCUAAGCACAUCCCAGCUCUUCUCCUUUAUCCACCAGUAAGUCCUCCUUUUCCUUUUAUGUCGUCUUCCUCCACACACUCAGACCUUACCAGCUCAGCACCUAGGCGUAGGAUUACCCGACCUGCACUCAUAGAAAUACCUUCCUCCAGCUCCUCUUCUUCCAGCUCGUCUGAUUCUGAAUACCUUCCUCCCCCAGCCCCACCUCUUGCUAUAGCCAUGGACCAACCUGGCCCAUCUGCUCAGCCCGGGGCUGGAGCUACUGUCCCAGGGAUUCCUCUGGAGGUAGUUCCAGCUCGCUCUAGGGCAGGACCCCCUAGGGGGCCAGACAUCGACUUUGGAGAAGUCGAAAUUAUUCCCCCCCUUCUCGACCAGGGAGACGUAGAUGAGCUAGUGGGGAGGUAUGACAUCCUUCCCCAGUUCGAGGCUAGGGCAGCCCGGCCAGGGGAGUAUGCUUGCCUACCUCCCCCUGGGUUUGUAACUAUCUACAGGGAUCAGCUCGUGGCUGGUCUUCGCCUUCCCAUUCCCUACUUUCUUUAUGACAUCCUAACCUUUUGGGGCAUUUGAAUCACCCAGGUCGUUCCCAACGCCAUUCGGUCCAUCCUCGGCUUCUUUAUUUUGUGUCGAGCUCUUGAAAUCCCUUAUUCUCUGGACCUAUUUAGGUCUUUCUUUCAGAUGAAGGUAAGCGGCCCAGUUCAUGGUUGGUUCUACUUCGCUCGCAGGAGCGGAGGGGAACUCCCUACCCGCGAGCUGUUCACUCAUAUGCCUUCUUCCAUCAAGGGCUGGAAAGCCCAGUUCUUUUUUGUGAAGAAUACUGGGUUUCCUCCCCUAACUUGGAGGGAGGAUACCCAGGUGACCGAUCCAAUCCCUUCUCCCCUGCCCGAGGCCGAGCUAGACCGCUUGGUCAGCUCGGAAGCUCAACUGAAGGUGAAGGAAUUUAACAAUGCCCAACUCUGGUCGGCGGGGCUAAUCCGAGCAGAGGUGAACGACCCUGCCCCCGAUCUCCGACCUAUCACCCCCGAGGAGCUGACAGCUUGUAAUUUUCUCGACUUCCUCCUUUUCAUGAGUCCACACCAUCCUAACUGACUAAGUGUUUCUGUCCUGCAGUGAAGAGGUUUUCCCAGCUGCUGAACAUUGGCGGAAUUGGUAGCGCGAGCACGCCAACUCCUGCGCCUUCCACAGCGCCGAGCAGCACGGUGCCUCCACCUCCACCUGUGUCCACUCCCCAAAUUGCCGCUCAGUCUUCACUGGGGGAGGGAUCAAAGAAGAAAAGAAAGAAGUCCACGGCCAAGAAGGCCAGGACAGAGGCGGCUUCCCCCCAGUCCCAGGAGGAGCCCUCUACUGCCAUUGCCUCUCAUUACGGGGUGAGCUCCGCCGAGCAGCAGGCCUCGUCACAAUCUCCCCCUGCUAUGUGGCGUAUGAGGAAUGUAAUUCCCAUGAAGCCCCCUACCGAACUGGGCUCACACCCACACCCCCUCCAUUUCUGCCCGAAGUGGGGGCUGUCGGUGAACGACCGAGCUCAGUUCCCUGAAGUGGCGAAGGAGCUCGUCAAGGGCGCUGUACUCCCCCGCGAUCACCACUUCAUCCAACUUGCCACCAAUGCUGAGCUGCUAGAGCACUUCUACCUCAGCACCACCCAGGUAGCUUCUUAACUAGCACUUUCUUUGGCACCCUUUCGAGUUUUGCUGCCUACUUAUCCUGUAACUAAUAUGCAGCUCAAUGUUACGGGGGCCGAGCUGGCUCAGCGAUAUGAGAACAUGGGGGUCAACCUGUCCCAGGUUGACGCUGCCAAAGAGAAGCUGUCCAGCCAGCUCGAGGCUGCAGAGACCGAGCUGGAGACCCUGAAGAAGCAACUUGCAGAUGCCAACUCCUCCUGCGAACUGGAAAAGAAGAAAGCGGCCGAACUGGCUGCGACUUUGGAGGCAGAGCAGAAAAAAUCUGCCGAGCUGGUGGAGGCGGCAAGGGAAGAGGGGCGUCAGCAGGGCGUCCAGGAGUUCAAGAAAUCUGAACGCGGACGACCUCACGGAAUGCGGAGCGAGCUGGAGAAGACUGGAGGAGAAGAGAAAAUGAGAGGGGAGGCUUGAAAGUGACGUUUGGUGGGGCCUAUUUAUAGGCUCCCUGGGCGGGAAGCCGAAGAGUCCUGAGGAAGAAAUUCAAACUUAUUGCAAGGGGGCGGUUACCUUGGAAGACGCUUGAGCUGACAAACCUCCAUCAUAAAGGACGUGACCCUUGAAGUGACAGUUACGAAGGCGGACGUGGCAGUUUUUCGGAGGAGGUACGUGAUCGUGGGAUCGUGGGUCCCGCACGAAGCCGACGUGAUGCUUCGAAGUUUGGUCUAGACCCACGUGACUCAUCAGUGACUCUAGACUCAAGGGGGCUAGUGUGGUGGGGCAAAUCUGCACGUGACACGUGUCAGCUCGGCAGGUUGUGCGCGUCAGGUCGACGGUGGAGACCUCACGACUCGUAGGCGCUAGCUCGGCAUGUGGAUGCCAGCUCGGCCUUACCUGUCGAUCCCUGAGAUGGGCCUAUGGGCCGCCGCCUCCGAACUUGUAGGACCCGCCGCACGAAACCCUAAGAAGACUCCGAACCCUACGGGGAUUCUGACUUCCACAAGGAAACUACAACCCACUCUACCCUAUAUAAACCAUGCCUAGGGACAAUACAAGGUACGCAUACACAAGUAUUCUCUACUAUUACUCUGUGGACAAGCCUGACUAACUUGACCGUCGGAGUUAUCCCAGGGACGCCAGUCCCGCCCCUGACCUUUCCUCGCAGGUACAUCAGCUCGGCUCCCUCUCUCAGGCUAGCUGCGCCUGACCAGCUCGGUUCGCUACAGCCCAGCUCGGAUCUGGUUUUGGCAGUCACAUCACAAGCAUUUUUGUGGAAAAUGAAACAGCGAAUGGAAUGGAAUGGUUGUACAAUUCCCUCCUUGCCAAGUAAUUGAUUUCCUGAUAGUUCCCCCAAAACGAUGUCGACUAUCAACGAAGUACAUCAUAUAUACCGUGUUUACUAAUCGAAAGAACGAUUAUUUUUCUUAUCUAAUGUAUAUCUGAUCAUGUAUAGAUGCAUGACUCAUGUACGUUUUAAAUUUUAUAUCUAUAACAUGUAUUUAAAUUCGUUAAUAUAUACGUACGCUGUCAGUGUACAAAAUAUAUUUAUUAAAACAAAAUUUUUAUAAAUUUCUCAAGUUCAUUAUCAUGUUUUCAUGACUAAGUUAACCGAUGAAAAAAGGCACUCAAUUGACGGAACUUUUAAUAAGAAAAGCACUAUGAACAUGUAAGGCAGAAAUCAACGAUAUGGAUAUUAAAGCAUUGAAAUGGAGGAAUCUUCAUCGAUCAUAUCAGAAACCGAAUUAUAUUAGACUAACUUUGUACCGGUGUUACUUGACAUUCCGACGAGUGGAGAUGGAAAAUAAUGUGAACGUCCAGCCAAAUAAUUUGGUGGGGAUAACAAACUGAUGCGAUGUCCAAACCUGGCAAAAAGCAUUGGACCUCUAUUGUCCUUGUCGCCCCAACAAUUUCAAAAUUGAGUUUUGUCUGUUACAAAUUAGUUUACACGAUUCUUAUUACAUUUAGUGUAAAUUUAUCCCAUAAUCGCUUGUCCUAGGUUACUAAAGACUUAUUCUUGAUUGAUUACUUUAGCUAUAUAUUUAUGGAUUCUGACGUUAGAUAAUCAAUUUUUUUGAUAUUUUUGUUUAUUUUAAUUAUACAAAUUUUUUAUUUUUAAUAUUAAAAAACUAAAUUUCAUAAUCAAUCAAAAAAAUAAAUUUUACUAAUAUUCUCAUUAUUCUCUAUAGUCAUUUUUUUUUAAAUCUUAAUCUGAUUUUGUAAAAUCUGAAACCAAGCAGUAUUAGUAUGAAUUUACUAAUAUUUUGGUUCCAAUUUCUUCGGAUGUCCUCUCGAAGGAAGGGACAGUAUUUUGGUUCAAAUCAAAUAUAUUCUCGUACUAGCAAUAAGAGACGGUGCUCAUGGUCUUAACAUUGAUUCGGACUAAAACCAAUCAACUUAUUGGUAAGGUCGUAAGUGACCCGCAUCCCUUGCUGCUGUCUGUUCCCAAUUAUUGACACCCGUUCCGAAGACACCCGUUCCGAACUGCCGGUGAAAGCCAAACAGUGCUUGCCACUGGUAUCAACACGAAUCAAAUAAUUUGCAGGCCUCAGCGACAGUGUUUUGCCCCCAUGGAAUUCAAACGACAUCGUUGGAUAGCCAUCUGUGGGUUCAGAUGAUAGAUCAUAGCAAGUGUCAAGUUUAACUGGACCAUAGUCGAACCCGCUCGCGGGAGGCAAGGCUCGAGCGUACUUAACAAACGUAUCGCGGACCGAGUUAUAGACCUGAGUUGGGAACUCAGUUAUCGCGGUGCCCGAGUCAACUAAGAUUCCCCCGCGUCCAUCUUCGCCUAUUUGGUAAUCUGAUGCCGGGAUGGAUACUUUUUCUCCAUUAAUAGUGACCCCCGUGAGUUCCACGUAAUAAUAAGCCUCAAUUCUUGGGUUAAUUAUCAAGGGAACGAGGACUGAGUCACCAGGUGGAGCUGAGUUAAAUUCAAGACUCGAGGACGAGUUCGAGUCCAUAUCCACAAGGCAGUAGGAGAACGACGUCGCUCUAAUUUGAGACGGGAAGCCUACAGGAGUGCCCCCAAGACCAAGUAUCCCAGCUGCCCCGCCAAACCCGCCCUGGUUCGUAUGCCCGCACCCGAUGGCUACUUUGUCAACAGAGCCCGAACUUCCAAACGACACCGUUUCGGUGGCGAAUUCGCCCAUGCUACUGAAGUUAUCUCCGUACGACGCUUUAUACGUACACGGGUCAGCUUUGCAAUUUUGGUUUUUUUCCAGGGAGGUACACUCCUGCGAUGCACAGGAUAAAGGACUAAAAGAUGAAGACCCGGAUGGGUCAAAGAUCGGGUCGGAUUGUUCGUAGCAUGGAUCGCAGGGCAGGCAUUGGAGCCAGGUGAUUUGGCUACCCGUAUCCGCUAUCAGGUGGAAUUCUUUCACGGGUUGGCCCACUCCGAUCCGAGCUAAGUACCCUCCCUCAGAAUGAGUCAGUGGAGUUUUGAGGUCCUCCGGCUGGACUUGUACGUCCGGUUUAACAGCAUGACGGCGGUUGAAGGUGGAGACAGCCCGUUCGAUGUUGGAGUUGAUGAGCUUGGCUCGGGCUCGGUCACUCGCGAGUCGGGAGAGUACCAGGUCAGAGUAGUUGUCGUAUGGCAGCUUUAUGAUGGAGGAAUGAGGAUGUAGGGAGAGUGACAAGACGGAGGAGGUUGAGCUAGGCUGAGCUUCUUCUGUUGAGAAGAGUUGAAGCCUCUUGAAAGCUGAAGCAGAGACAACUUGAGGUGAAAAAGGACUGAGGGUGAAGGAGAAGAAGAAGAAGAAGAGGAUGAUGAAGAUGUUAAUGGAAGGAAAUGGCCUUUGAGCUUUUCGAGCCAUGUACAUGUUUGUGGUUUUGGUGAUGAGAAGUUUGGGAGAUGAAGUUGCGUCCACAUUGUUUUGGUUUAGGAUACAACUAACGGAUCCGGAUAAGUUCAAAUGUUCGAUCACAGUAGAAAACUUUGGUCUUUCUUUAUUAUAUAUUUUUUGUUUCCAGUAUGACUCUGUUCUACCCCAAUUUUAUUUUUUAUUGUAUUAUUAUUAUUUUUUUCACAAAAAUUAUAUUUUAAUUCUUUUUUAUUUCUCACGUUCAAAUAACCACUGACACAUACAAAUGUUUUUCAAGAUAGAUGGGCCAAAUGAGACUGAACUACCAUCAUAGAAUAGCCCAAUUAAGUUGGGAAAAUCUAACGGGAAUUGAACUGCCAUCAGAUUAGACGGGUAUACCAUGCAGUCGUAUGAAUUUAGAACAAAUCUCAUAUAAAGACACAUUGAUGGGAGAUAAGAUUUGAAACCUUAACCUCCCAUCGCACGAUUAAUGUGAUGGCCAACUCAAUAUGACUGCAGGGUCACUGUGACUUCUUUUUCCUGUAAUCACGGCUUUGUUAUCUAAAGUUAAAUAUGAUUGCUAAUAAUUUUUCGUAAAGCAUUCUUUAAGGGCUUUACAUGCAAAUUCUUUCCCUAAAGAGGUGCGGGCACAAGGAUGUGGCUCUUUAAGCUCACAAGUUCAGCCAUUUGGACCAGGUCCAUAUAAAAAGUUUCCUGUGCAAUAUUCGAGAGGCUUUUGUAUAACAUAACCAAAGUUUUCCUUUUAUAUGUAAGGAAUUUAGAAUUUCUUUUUUUUUUCCUUUUAUAUACAAGCUCUGGCUGUUUAUAGAGUUUUUGACCAAAGAUUGUUAUUCAUAAAAGUUUUGAAAUUAAAAAAAUUUUGAGAAAAAGAAACGAAAAAAAUGCUGUUUGUAGAGUUGUAAUCUUCGUGGGAACGCCUUGGCCUAGGAUCAUUUGUUUCUCUUAUUAGGAAUAUGAAACUUAUGAGAUUCAUAAAAUUUAAUGGACGGUAGGUUAGGUUCCCAUUUUCCGCUUUUUUCUGUAUUUUGAUGAAAUUCUCCAGCAAAGUUCUCAAUAAUUCUGCAGUUGAACACACUUGUAACGCUGCCUAACAUAAUUCUGCAGGAGUAUUAAUUGUUUCCAGGAGUCAGCCUACUGAUGCAAGAUGACCACAAUGGUCCCUAUUUAAAAAUUGCCUUCAAGGAACUAAGCAUCAAGUUGAAAAAUCGAGAUCAAAGACAAUAAAAUAGGAAUAAUCUAAUGUUUCAAAAAGACACAUUUCUCUGAAGUUCAAGUCUAAGAAAGUAAAAGGUGAAUAACAUACUUUUCUCAUCUGUACAGAUGGAUUCAAGGCAAUUAGAAAGUACAUAGCAGUAUGCAUUCAUCCUUUUUCUUUUGCAUCCAAGAGAGACUCAAAUACUACCAAACUGGUAUAACAUAUCUGUUAUGCAGAGAUCCAUGCAGGAACAUGUGACUGGAGGUAUCUGAUCCCCAGAAACCUAUGAAAAUAGGCUCCAAAAAUGAAAAUGCAAUAUGCGCUUAAAAGCAUAGCUGUGCACAUGCACUUCUUCAUUCUCAAGAAGUCAAUAGCAUUCUAAGGAAAGAAGAGGAUAAAACUACUAAAGAUCACCAAAGCUGAAUAGGAAUAGAAAAGAGUGUACCUUAGAAUGAUGAUAGACGAUAAACUUGAGAUCCUGAAAAAAUCUUAACUCGACAAAAAUUGAUUCGGUUUAACCACCCAAUCAACCGUUUUUCCACUAAGGGAAAAUCUUAAGUGUAUCUUGAUAUCAUCAGAGGCUUUGAUGGGAAUGAAAGGAUUGUCACAGUUGCAGCAUUAAAAAAACUCUAAAUUUGGAGUGUCAAUUUCAGCACCUGAAAAGUGCGACAAUCUCUAAAGGCCAGUCUCUGAAGCCUUUGGCUUGAAAUUCUGAUACUCCCCAACCCAUGGCAACUUCGAAACUCUAAGGCUUCAAGGGCCUGGAUUUGAAAUGUCAGCGCCUGGUGCCCAAAGUUAGUUGUGUCACCUGCCCCACUGAGUUUCAACUCCUUCAGUGCUUUGCAAGUAGCCAGGUUAACACUUCUGGGCCAGUUUCCCAAGGAUGGUGCAAACGAAAAAGUAUGAAGAUCAGACACAUCUAUCUGAACAGUAUCAAUCCCAUCACAGUACAGGAACUCAAAAUACUUCAAGUGAGAUAAACUUGAAACUGAGAGAAGUGUGUCCAUCCAUUUACAAAAUGACACUUUCACAUACUCUAUCACGGGGCACCCAGAGAGAAUUUGGUGAAAUAAAAACUUGUCGGUGAAACAAGAAUGAGAUAAAGAAAACUUCUGUAGAUGUGGAAGUUUGAUAUCCAAUCCACUCUCAAAUCUACAACCACAUAAGCUUAAAACUUUUAGCGAGCUAGCGAGCAAAACCGAUUGCGGAACGCUAAAAAUGUCUAUCUGAGCCCGACAAACUAUCAAUGCAAACAGCAAGUUCUGGAGCAGUCCUGUCUACUGCUAUACCAAUCCAUUGGUCCAUAUUAGGCAUCAACAACUCCAUAUCAGGGAAGUCAAUAUACAAUUGAAAUCUUUGUACGCAAAAAUCUAGUUGCAAGCGCCGACAAAUGGAAUUUCCAGCAAGAAUCAAGAAAUCAUGUUUUCGCUUUUUUAUAUGCAAGUCACCAAGAACUUGCUCUUGUUCUGUGACUGAAUUAUCAUAGAAAAAGUGGAAUACAAGAUAAGGAUAAGUGGACCAGGUGCGAUUCCAAGUCUUUGACAAUAUUGCAGUAGAGGUAACAUCUCUGGCACGCAGAUAAGAUAAAAUGUGAUGAAUCACGGAAUCAGGCAACCGCGAGAUGAAGUCCAAAGGGGCAAUCUCCAAACCAGAUCUCUCCUGCUCACAUUCCUCUAUUAUUAACCAACAAAAGCGUUCAUUGACCAGUUAGAACUCAAAUUUCAUCUGUCACUCAUUUACGAACUAAUUCCAACUCCAAUAUGCUUGAUAAUCAAAACAGAACCAAUUAGAACUCAAACGUUCAUUAUUCAUUCAUAAUUAUACACUAAUAUGAACUGAAACGUGCUGGAUUAUCAAAGUUAUGCGCUAAUUUGAAACUCAAACAGUUCCUUAUUUAUUGACGACCAUACACAAAUUCGAACUCCAACGUGCUGAUUCACUACAAUUAUAUGCUAAUCAAAAUCAAAAGUCUUCAUCCAUUCAUGAUUAUAAAGUAAUCAGACUAAAUGGUGCAGGAUUAUUACAAUUAAGCAACUGAAGCAUUUAUAGAAAGAAAGUUUACAAAGAGUACCUGAUUCCAUGAAGGGCAAGCCGGCAAAGACUUUGAAUCCCGAAGGCGAACCUGAUUAUAUCAGUAAAUGUUAUAAAGUUAGCGAGGAAAUCUAUUUAAAUUAAGCAAGCCAUAAGAAGAUUGCAAAUUCCAGCUGACUUUGUGAAUUAUAAUGUUGAGCAGAAAAUAAAGCAUGAUCAUAAGGAUGACCAAAAGUACCUGAAAAUAAUUAAUAGCCUCUGUAAUUUAGCCCCAAUUCCCGGAACAUGUAGACGACGGGAGCGACGGUCAAUUAAGAUUAGCCACAUAUUGUGGCAAGUACGAGGGAGGAAGGGGUAAGGGGUAAGGGGAGAUGGUCAACUAAGACCAGCCACAUAUUGUGACAAGUAUGAGGGAGGCAGGGGUAGAACCCCUGACCUCCAACAUCACCAAAGAGGGUGAUGACUACUGGACCAAAUGGCCAGUGGCGAGAAUAGAGAUACUACAUAGCAUGAAACUGUGAAUACACGUAGUUGGGUAGUAGACUACUAGUUUCUUUCAUUAGUUUUCCUUGACAAAAUAUUUUUGGCUCCGUUUGAAUUAAUUACUUUUUUUUUAUAUUUUUAAAACAUUUUACUGCAACAGUGUAUAUGAAAAAUUUUGAUUGUAAAUUUUUUUGUGAUAUUUUUGAAUAAAUUUUUAAAAUAUAUUUUGGAGUACCUUUUAAAAUUAAAAUAUUUUUAAAGUACUUCUUAAAAAUUAAUACUAUCACCCACAACCACAAAUAACCACCAACACCACCUCCACCACCCACUCCUUCCUCCUUUCUCUUCCCCCUCUCUCUUCCCUUUCCCUGCCCCCACCCCCCUUAAUCUGGCAGCAACCAAAGGCUGCGAUCUGGUCGCGGCCAGAAAGUCUAGUAUCGACUAGAUUGCGGCCUCUAGUCACAACUAGAGACCUUGAUCUGGUCUUUGGCAGAUUGAGGGAGGAAGAAAUGAGAGGGGGGUAUUGGUGGUAGGCGGGGAUGGUGGUGGGUGGUGGUGGCGAGUAGUGGUGGUGAUAGGUGGAAAAUGUUAUAUAAUUCAAUUUUAAAAAUUUUUUUGUGUAUAUUUGUGAAUUAUUUUUUAUAUAUUGUAUGGAUGAGAUGUUUUUGAGUUGUUUUAUUUGUGUAUUAUUCUAGCAUUGUAUUUGAAAAUUUUGUUUUUGAAAAAUAGAUUUUUGGAUUUUUUAGUAGAAAAAUAUACUAUAUCAAUUUGAUGUAUGUGAGAUAAAAAUAAGUGUUUGAAAAAUAUGAUCAUAAAAAAUAUUAAAAAAAAUUUCUGCAGAAAAACUUCAAGGAAUUUCUAGAGAAAAAGAAAUCCAAAAUCCUAAUUUUUUUCCUUUUGUUUUUAGAAAAGGAAAAAGUGCAAGCCAAAAAGCAAUAAAAUGGAUAACUUCUUUUCAUAUGAAUAUAUGAUGUUAAGUACUUUAUGUACUCAUAAAACCCAUAUUUUGGUUUAAGAAAAGCAAUACCUAAUGAAAUUGUAAAAUGAGAACGGUAACAAAGAUUAUAGUCUAAAGUACUCGUUUGAUAGGCUAGUGCAAUUUGGCGUUUCACUUGUACGCUUCAAAUGCACAUCAUCAAUCAGGUAUCCGGACGCUUGGCUAUGCAACUUGAACAAUCAUCACAUGUAGAACUGAGGGGGCGCUUGGUUCAAAUUUAGGAAUUGGAAUUGUAAUUGGAAUCAUAGACUCUGGUUUUGAAAUUAAAACUUUUCAUUCCAAUAUCUUGCUUGGUUCACACAUUGGAAUUAGCAUUAUUCCAAUUCCUGACGCUUGGUUUGAUGAGUGUUUCGGAAUUAAAUGCAAUUAAAUUCCAAAUUUACCCCUGAUAUAACAAUUCUUCUAAAACAAAAGAAUUACACAUACGACAAAUUAACAUUUUCAUAAUUGUAACUACAAUAGUUAUUAACUUUUUAAUAAAACAUAAGAAAAUCAUAAAUAAUAAAAAAAUUAAUACCAUAAAAUAAAUAUAGUAGCUGCAUUAACAAGGAGUAAAUUUCCAAAAAAAAAGAGUUUUUAAACAAUCACCCAAAAGGUGACGAUUUUUGAGUCUCUUUCCAAAGGGCGAAAAAUGCAUCCAAGGAAUGUGUUCUUCCAAAUAUGUUUUGGAAAUUUGUUUAAAUAUGAAAAAUUGGUUAAAUAGCCCAUAAGAUACCAGCUCUUUAUAGGAAACUGGCAGGUUUUGUACCAGUUUUAUGGGAAAAAUUGAUUAAAUAGUGCCCAAAGAAAAACUAGUAUGUUUUGUAUUUAACAUAAAUUAAAUAUGUGAAAGAUAAAAAAAAAAAAUUGCCCAUAAGAUACCAGCUCUUUAAGGGAAACUGGCAGAUUUUGUAGUAUGUUUUGUACCAACUCUUUAUGGAAAACAUACCAACUCUUUAUGGAAAAAAUUGAUUAAAUAGCGCCCAAAGGAAAACUAGUAUGCUUUGUAUUUAACAUAAAUUAAAUAUGUGAAAGUUAAAAAAAAAAAGAAAUUACUCAUAAGAUACCAGCUCUUUAUGGGAAAUUAGCAGGUUUUGUAUUUAAUACGCUAUUUAACCAAUUUUUUUUUAUUUAAACAAAUUUACGAAAAUUAAAAUAACGUAUUUGAAAGUUGUAUUUUUAUUUGGAAGAACGCAUUUCUUGAAUGUGUUUUUCAUCCUUUGGGAAGAGACUCAAAAAUUGCCAGCCUUUAGGAAGUUAGUUUAAAAACUCUUUCUUUUUGGAAAUUUACUCCAUUAACAAGUCGUUUGUGGUUCCUACAUUAGAUAAUGAUAUGAAAUAGAUCACUCCUUACAUAUAUGAACAAAAGAAGGAGACUCAAAUCACAAAAGCUAACCAUACCAAAUACAAAUCAAUUGUCUAAUCCAGUCGAGAGUGCCACUCAAUGUCCACAAUCUCCAAAAGACUAAUCAUAUAACCAUCUAACAAUCAUCAUAUCAAAAAGAAAUUGCCAUCAAAUCAUCACUUUCCAGCUAACAAUAAUUUUACUUCAGCGAGUAGAUGGAGGAUAAAGGAGGUUAAUUACAUAUUAUCGUUUCAUUUCUGCAGGAAGAUUGUAGAACACAUGAAGCUUGGAAAUCUGCUCCGAAAGUAUGUCGGCUGCAUUCAUUACAUCUCCACUCGGUAAAGCAAGUUUCAUUAACUCAGCAACAACUUGAUCUCUUCUAUCGGAGACCAAUUGCUCACGUUUAUCCUCAUUUGACAUGGCUGCUGCCAUAGUUGUGAAAUUAGCUUGAAUUCUCUCCACGAAAUCUCCAAAUUUGCUGGUGAGAAGUUGCAAUGAUGCAUCAAGAUCACCCCUUGUUGUUGAUGCAGAUUUCAUUUUUUUUGACACAUUUGCAAUGGGAAGGGAUUGUUUCUUUUGUUUCUUGGAAUUUCUUGUGCUUGUUGAGUUUGGUUGAGUUGAUUGCUCCAUGGAAUUUACUUCAUCUUCUUCUACCUUAUCAUUAUCCGAGUUUGACAUAACAUCAAGCCCUUCAUCUCCUUCCUCCAAAUUUUGGACAUCUUCCAUAUCUUGGACAGCUUGUGCAAAAUCUUCAGCAACAUUUCCAGUGGCUCUGUCUCUUCCAUAUACAAUUUCAAGAUCUCCUAAAUAUGGAAAUUUGACAUCCCAAAGGCCCUUUGCAUCCUUAUGAGUCUAGAGAUAGAAUAGAAAGAUAAAUGAUAAUCUUAAUAAAAUGUUGAAAAAGAACAUAUCAGAAUGUAAAAAGUAAUCAAUUUCUUACCUUGCACCAAUCAUCAUACCACUGUUUUUCACAAGAAAUCUUUUUCUCAGCAUCAUUCCAACUACAACCACUUUCUUUGCACAUUUCAACAAUUGCAUGGAACCUAUUUUUCAGUCACUUAACUUUUGAUUCAAUAUGUGGGCUGACUUGUUUGGUAAAAGUAGGUUGCUUACGCAAGAUAAUUUUAAGUAAUUUGCUCAUAUAAUUAUUUUUAAAUCCUCCAUCUGAUUUUCACAUUGGAUCACAAGCCAACUCUUGCAAUGAUUCUAUGAGCACUUUUACCUCUUCACCAGUCCAAAAACAUUUAUUUUCCCUCUUCCACGUACAAUUUCAUCAUUCUCCAUCCUAUCAUUUAGAAGUCAACCCAUAUAUAUCAAUUAAUUUUGAUACACAAUAGCAUAUAACUGAAAUUUAUAAUAUAACAAAACACAUAAAAGAACAUACAAUUAAAAGUCAAUCCAAAUUUAAAAGAACAUACAUCAAGUGUCAAUCUAAUUCACAAAUCCACUACAAGAGUACAUCAAAUGUCAAUCCAAAUUUAAUGAGUCUAAGAGCUAAACAUCCAUUCAUAGCUAAAUACUAAGUCCAGCCCUCCAAUUGUCAAACAUUUCAUGCGCUAAAUUAUUUCUAAAAUUUGCCCAUUGAUCACUUGGCAAAAUGGUGGAUAUGUACUCUACUUCUUCAUCACUGUCUUCAUCUUCACUUUCAUUUUCUUCACUUUGUAGUAAUUCUUGUGGAUCAAAAGUCAUGAACUUCCUUAUCAAGUUGUGCAGCAGACAACAUGCCAUAAUUAUUCGCACUUGUGUUUGAAUUGGAAAAAAUGAAGGGGAUGCUAGAAUCUUCCACCUUCCUUUUAGCAAUCCAAAACAUCUUUUUAUGAUAUUUCUAGCUUUAGAAUGUUUCAUGUGAAAUAUUCCUCUAGUCUUUGUGGUCGAUAACCAUUGAAUUUAUUAAGGUGAUAUCUUUGCCCUCGAUAAGGGGCAAGAAAUCCAUCAGCAUUACAAUAUCCAGCAUCCACCAAGUAAUAACAACCUUCAGAAUUCAAUCAUGUACAAAUUAAUACUAGACUACCUUAUUUUCGAAAAAAAAUUGAUUGAAUGGUAUUGAAUACUGCAAUAUAUGUUUACCUUGUGGGACUCUAAGACCAUUUGGUCUAGAGAUAGCAUUUCGAAGCACACGACCAUCAUGUGCCGAAUCUUCCCAACCAGGCAAGACAUAGAUAAAUUGCAUAUUAGGAGAACAAAUCCCUAAUACAUUUGUUGCAAUACUUCCUUUUCUCGUUUGGUAUCUUGAUUUUUGUUCGGUGGGUGGUGUCACAUCUAUUAAUGUCCCAUUUAAGGCACCUAAACAAUUCUAUUUUAACAAAAAUAAAAAAUAUAAAUGAGUUAAAAUGUCUAUAUUGGAUAGUUUAGAUGAAAACAUACAUUUUAUUAAAUGAUUGUAUUUUAAUGUUUGAAUUACCUUAAAACAUUUCCAUCUCUCAUCUGUGCAAUCUUCGGUAAUAGGCUCAGGCUUCUUAAGUAAUAUAGUAUGCAAUUUCAAAACUGCUAGGAGGCAAAGAUUAAAUUGACGACUCACCGUUUCUCUACUUCUCUAAAAUAAACCACAAAUUGUUCUACUUUUCUUGUGGUGAGCCAAAACAUAUACAAACAUGGCAACAAUUUCUUCUAUUGACAUGUUUCUUGUAGCUUUCAAACCUCCAGUGUCUCUAAUCAUUUCACAUAAUAUCCCAAAUGUUCGUCUAUCCAUACGAAGUUCGCUAAUACAAUAAGCAUCACUCUCCCUAGUCAAAUUGAAUAAGUGUUGCAUGCGCUCAGUGACUUUUUCUUCUUUUGAUUUUAUUUGGCGUCUUCUACUUUUGAGAUGAAUGAAUAUUAACUGGUACCACAUCAUAAACAGUGCAAUAACAACCAUUAUCAUUCCUGAUAAAAUCUGGCUUUGCCCUCGAUAUUUUUUGCGUCUUCUGUUUUCAAUAGGCAAACGUGGCAUCUUUGUCUACAUAACAAUAUGACAACCAAAUGUAAGUAUUCACCAAACUAGAUUACGGCAUCAAAAUCUUCAAAUGCAUUAAACAUCAAUUGAUCUUAUUAAAAGGGCCUAGACAUGCAUCAUACAUCCGUAAACACAAUGAUGUAUAGAUAUAAAUAAGCAUAAACAAACGAAAUUGAUGGUUGAAACUUGAAAUCCUAAUGUACGAAUAACUAUGAAACUGAAAGCUAUUCAAGCAGACAAUUUUACAAACAGGUACAGGGCAUGUAGAAACCCACCCAAACUAUACCAGUAUUCACGGAUCAAAUAACCAAAAGAUCAAGAAUUGAUUGACCUCCAUUGAAUGCGUAAUCCAAGAAAACACAUUAAAAACAUAAAAAUGACAAAUCUAGUGACAUUAACAUUUAUCUCACCAAAAAAAAGAACAAAAUAAUGUAUUUGUUGAAGUAAGUGAAUUAAAAUACAUGUAUUACAACAAAAUACAUGGAUUAAAAACAUGUAUUAUUCUCACCAAUAAUAGUGUAUUUGUUGCGGAAAUAAUUUCUUAUUGGAUUUUGUGACAAAAGAAUAUGAAUUCAUGGAAGGAAGACUUUUUUGCAAAACUGACAGAUUGUGUAGCGUGAGUGGAAUAAAAGUGAGAAGGUGAUGGGUCCAGAGCAUAGCAUUUUGGUCCAGUUAGUGUUAUUGUAUCAGAUUCCCUUCUUUUCUUCUUUAUUUUCAGCUACCCAGUGAGUAGCCUGAAAAAACAGAGAAGAAGAAAGAGAAAAACUUGCAUACGAAAAGAAAAUUGCAAGAGGCAAGGGAGUUUGUAAUCCACUGACCUGGGAUCAAGGAAUUCACCCUAGUAGAAGACUCUUCAACUCUAGAAUUCGUUGUCCAAGGAGAGUCGAAAGCCACUGAUCUUUAUGGUUGUCCAACCGGUGAAGUAGAAGAGGUAGAAAAUCUGAUGAAGAAGAAGAACAGAAGGUGCGGCGUGUAAUGAAGAAAAAAAGAGGGUAGGUUCGUCAUAAAUGUUUUUGCUCGGGAAUGAGUUGAGGGUUUUGUCCAAAACCUCCCAAUUUACUCAGGAAUGGUGAAAGUCCGAUUUUUUAGAAAUGAUUCCAGAAAUUGCAUUCCAAUAGACUUAACCCAAGCAACAAAUAAGGGGUUCAUUCCAUUAUUUGAUUCCCAAACCUUUUAACCAAGCAGCCCCUGACUUUAUUCUAGUAUUUUAUAGGAAAAUAUGUACUCAAUUAGCCUGAAGUGAAUUAAAUCAUGAUUGUCAGCAUUUUAAACUUUUGAUGGUGAAGGCCUUAAUUGCUUGACAACUCCCAUGAUUAUUAUGGCUAAACUACUCAAGUUGCCUCGUUAUACUUCAAAAAAAAAAUUCUCAAUUCAACCUUUAACACUAAGAAGUGACUUGAUUUAAUCCCUUGGAAAUAACUCAUGUCAUUUUUAUGUUGAAUUAGUAGCCAAAAGAUUUAAUCGUGUAUUUGCAAUAUAACGGGGUCUAUGUGUUAUAUUAACGAUAUAUUGUUGAUGAUGAGACUAUAUGAAUUCCAAUUCUUUCAGCAAAGGUGAUAUCCAAACAACAAAAUUUCUUCAAAGACAUCUAAUAAAGAGAUUACCAAGUACCCAUGUUAUUGUUUAAGCAAUAUUAGUAUGUUUUCAUAAACAGCAUUUUAUUUGGGUUGAAAUCAAAUCAACACCUAUAUGCAUUUCAUAAACAGCAUUUUAUGAGGGAUGAAUGAGGAUGUAGGGAGAGGGACAAAACGGAGGAGGUGGAGGUGGGCUGAGUUUCUUCUGUUGAGAAGAGUCGAAGUCUCUUGAAAACCGAAGCAGAUACCGCUUGAGAUGAAAAAGGACUGAGGGUGAAGAAGAGGAAGAAGAGGAUGAUGAAGAUGUUAACGGAAGGAAAUGGGCUUGCAGCUUUUCGAGCCAUGUAAAUGUUUGUGGUUUUUGCCGCAGCAGACAACAAACAAAGAAGAGAAGUGAUGAGAAGUUUGGGAGAUGAGCAUGGGUUUAUUAUAUACACGUACGUUGAUCUGCACGCAGGGCAUCAGUAGCGUGUUACUAUUAUUUAUUGAAGGUCCAUAUCAAAAAAAAAAUUUUGAUAACAAAGGUCCAUAUCAAUUUAAUUUCCAUAGAAAAGUAAAAGUUUGGUACCUUAACAUACAAGAAAGAGAGUACAUACACAAUUAAUCGCCAGUCCUUCAAAUCAAGAUAUGUACAAUGUGUAAGUGAGAAUGUACAACUGAUAUUCCUAGUCUACGAGCAGGGGCGGAGCCAGAAAAAAUUCUUAGUAGGGGCAAAGCAACACUAAAAUUUUUUACCUACUCUUUUUCUAGUUUUUUAAGCAAAAAAAAAAAAAAUCACCAACAAGUACAAAUGAUACAUAUAUUCCAUGAAAAAUAUAAAAAGACAAAUUCAAAAUUAUUAAUGUAAUAAUAAUUUUAUUUCAAAAAUAAAUUACACUAUUUACAAUUGCUCACUGCGAGUUUUUAUAUUUUGAUAACUAAUUUGGUUAUAGAAGUAAGAAUGGCUCUCGGUUGUGGAGGGAAAAUAGGGGACCAGUGGAAGGAAGGGAAAUUGGGAAGUGGGGACAAAGGAAGUGAAUGAUAUGAUUGGAUGAAUUGAUCAAGAGAAAGAGUAGCUAGCUGCUUGGUUGUGGAAGGUAGUGGCUCUCGGUUGUGGGGAGAAAAUGGGGGACCAGAUGAGGGAAGGGAAAUUGGGGAGUAGGGCCCAAAGAAAGUGAAUGAUAUUAUUGGUACUUGCUAAUUAAAAUGAAAAGGCUUUUUUUAGCUUAUUUCAAAUGGAAUUUGUGCCCCACGUAUCUUUUUAGAAUUUUAGUUUAUGAAGUAAUUUAAAAAAUCACGUAAUUCUUUCACAUUCUUUCUAAAAAAACUCUGGGGGCACAUUUAAAAUUAUAUUAAAAUUGUACAAAUAUUAUAAGAAUUUAAGGGGGGCAGUGGGGGCCCGUUGCUCCCAGUGCCCCCACCUUAAGGCUUCCUUUAGAUGGAGAGAAAAGGAUAGAAAAGAAAGUGACUAGAGAGACAGCCGUACCAUUUCCUUCAUUUGGGAGUUUUAACAUGGACAGGAGAGAAGGGAAACAAACGGAUAGGACCCCCUCCAAUUGGUGAAAAUUUUUCCGCCCAAAAGUGGGAAGAAAAGGACGGAAACUUGUUGGGCGGCAAAAGGUAUUUUUAAUAUGACAUUUUUUGUCCUUUAAAAGCUGAUACAAAAAUUUAUUAUUCCCAAUAUAUCCUAAAGUUCAUUAGUAAAACCACCAAUUCAUCUUUUUCUCAGCUCUUACUUUCAAUACUUCCAACGAGAUUCACCUGACUUUCUUCCGUUCAACACCCACAAUUCAAUAACAGGUAUUUUUUUGACUCAAUCUCUUCUUUCUUUCUUUCUUUGCUCAAUCUUCUUUAGAAAAUUAUGGAAAAAGCAUUUUUUGUGUAGAUUGUUAUUGUUUAUAUUCUAAAUUUUUUUGUUCAUUUUCUGUCAUAAAAUUCUUGUCUGCGGGAAAUCUUGAUCUUUAUAUUAUUGAUUUGUGAUUAUAUCUUGCAUUGUUAUGGUACAUGUAAGUUUCAGUGGUGAUACAUGAAUAUGAAAUUUAAAUGCAUACAUUUUGUUUGUUUAUUUGCCCGUGUAAGCUUCAAAGUGUAAAAUGAUCAACACAGAGUCCAUAAACAAUAUGUUAGCCUUUUUUAUUGUAAUAAUGCAUGUUUCUUUGAAAUGAUUACAAAGAUAGUAAUACUAGAAGUAUUGUUUUGAAUGGAGGCUGAUGUACAAAAACAAAAUUAGAGAUCUCCUUAUUCAUCAUCCCCAAGAGGUUUCAUGCUUGUCCCUGCUCAAGUUACGAUCCUGGGUAUAUAAUAAGCCUUAAAUUACCUUAAAAACAGUCCAACGUAAGGAUUGGUAAUAGCAGAGUUUAAAACUGUCGAAGCUUCUGCAAGUCUGGCCAUGUAAACUUUGUCUUUAGAUAGGUACAAAAAUUCGGAAUUCAAUUAUCUCAAACCCACAGAGUUCGACAAACUUGACACAUUCUUUAAAUUUUCAUACAUUGCUCUGUUAUUACAAAUAAAUUAAUCAAGUAUACAAUAUAGUAGGUAAAAAAAAAACUUUGAAUCCUACAUUAUUAGUAGAUACUCACGGUGCAAAAAAAAAAAGUUUCACAAGAAUUGAGGGCUAUAAUAGUCAUACAAAUUAUGUACGUGCAAAAUCCCAAGGGAACAUACAUCUUCAAAGGCACCACAUUGCUUUUCUUGAUAUUGGUUCUUGACAUGCAGCCAAACCAGAGUCUAUGACAUGCAGCCAAACCAUACUCAACCAAUUUAUAGUGGUGAAAUACAAUCACAAAUUGUGCUUGCUUGUUGUAUAUUACAUAAUUUUCUCAUGGAGUUUGAUCCUGACUUGGAGUACAUUAAUGAAGUGGAUGAGGAAUUGGCACGUCAAUCUCCAUCGGAGGAAGAAAGUGGUGAUAUAAGUGCUGAAAAAGAUCAUGCUCAAGGAGAGAGUUUAAGGAAUGAAAUAGCAAUGCAAAUGUUUUGAAGAUGAUUCCAAUUACCCACUGGUCAUUUCAUGUUUUGAAAAUAUGUAGAUCAUUGGGUGUAUUUUUGUUUAGAAAUUGAUAGAAUUGCUUUGUAUCAGGAGUAAAUGCUCAUGUGAAUUCGGAAAUCUGAAUGCAACAGGAAACCUAGUUGCAUUCCAUGUAAACCUGGUUUAUGUAUAUUUUGAGUUCACUUGGUUGCAUGGCAUUUUAUUUACUUGGGUUGCAUUCCACGUAUAUCUUGUUUAUGUAUUUUAUGGUACCAUGCACCUCCUUGCUUAAUUAUUUGUUGUUUUCACCAAUCUUUGCUUCAGAAAGCAAACAGACUGGCUAACAUAUAUAUGGCUGAAACCUGAGUUUAUCACUAAUGUUUCAGCUUAGCAAGUGGUAAACCUGAGUUUCAACUUAGCAAACUAAAGCUAAAAAUAAUAGACAGUUGAGCAGCUGUUAAAGCUAAAUAAGAUCUCAUCAGGAUGGCACUCUACUUUUACAUCACUGCUUCCUUCUUCUUCAGCCUGCAGUCUUUUCUUGUUAAGAAUUAUUACUCUUUGGGUUCAAGGAUAUUUCCCAAAGAAAUUAAAGGUUUUAGAUUUAUUGUGUGUGAGUAGGUUUAUGUAAAAAUCGCCGCAUUUCAGCUUCCAAUUCAUUCUUACAACAAUGUGAGUACAAGAUUUGGGUGAAACUUGAACCAAUAGAGGUAAUUACCGUGAAUUAGAGUGGAGGAUACAUUUAUGAGGGAGUCUCCAACGGACAGCUGAAAAGUGAAGGAGAGGUAAACGGAUUAAAUGAUUCAAAGUAAAAUGCUCAUAAAUAGCAAAUAGUUUGUUCAUCUAAUGGAAGAAACUCGUAAAGAGCUGGUAUGUUAUGAACAAUUUUUUUUUUUUACUUUCAAAUACUUCAUUUAUAUUAAAUACAAAACAUGCUAGUUUUUCUUUCGUAAAAAUAUUUGUGUAACGGCUUUUGAAUUUUGUUUGCAAAUAUUUAUGUAUUUAACAUAAAUUAAAUGAUUCAGAAUAAAAUGCCCAUAAAAACUUGGGUACUCCGUUCUUAUAAUGGAGGAAAGCCAUAAAGAACUAGUAUUUUAUUGAAAAACGAGUUUAUUUUUAGUUUAUCCGAUAAAUAAAUUUGUUAGUAAUAUUUUUUACAUUAAAAACGGGUUUAUUUCUAGUCUUGGUUAGUAAUCGUCAGUCUUAUUCAUCAAAAUGGUAUUGGAAUGAUUUUUCUUUUAAAAAAAAAAGAUCAAAUGAUGAAAACUUUCAAUAUUAAAUGCCAGACGUCAUGCUUGUCAGUGCAUUAACUAUCAACAAAUAAAAUUUUAUAAACAUUAGGAUGGAUCAAGUGGUGAAGAAGUGAAGAUUGAGAUAAUCUAAUAAUUAGUAGUAAACUUGAGUUUCAGCUUAGCAAAAACACUAGCUGAAACAUGUACAAUGGCAUUUCCGGUCAAUAUCAAAAUCAUAUGUCAAGAAUACCUAAAAGAUACUACAACGACUUGAGGCGAUUUACAUGCAUGCAAGAGAAUCGAAGUCCAGUAAGAAAUUUGUUGUAUUAUUCACCUUGUGGGAAUGCAUAUGCAAUUGUUUUAGAAAUUUGUUUUGUCCAAAUAUUCUAUUUAUGGGAACAAGAAAGCUAAUUUUUGGACUUUGAUUUACAAAUAGAAAGGGCAAAUAUGUAAAGUUGUAUUCUCAUAAAAUCCUUUCUUUCCAUAUCUCUCCAACUCUCAAAUAAGAGAAAGAUAUUUCUUUUCUUUUUUUUCAUUAAGCUCCCAAACGAAAUAUGCAUCUUUUCCCUUCUCUUCCUUUCUUUCCUAAGCUAUCUUUUCUUUUCUUUUCUCUUCCUUCAUAAACUCCCAAACUAAGCCUAAAUCCGCCCCGGUCCACGAGUGUCGUUACCGUAUGAAAGAAAGGGAAAGAACGAGAAGAUUUUAACAAACUUUAGUAGGCUUUUAAUCGAAAUUUUGAGUUCUGGGAGGGAAGACUUUUUAGAGUCUUGCAGGCAUCCGCUGCAUCGCGAUAGUUGGCCUUUCUGAUACAGGCAUAUCAAAAAGGAAUCAAAUUGGAAUUUACGGUGGAAACAAGGUAGAUGCGCCAACGGCAGCUGGUGUUUCAUUUUCAUGAUGCAAACUGGGGAAAUGUUGGAGCAUUAUGCAUCCAUGCCAUUAGAUAUAUAGUGGGCUUGAUGUUAUACAAUGCAAAUUUUCUUAAAAAAAAACUUUAAAUCAAAAUAAAUCUUGACCUAUCAAUUAUUGAUUUAAGCUAUCAAAACAUUGGCAUGUAACAUGCAAAUAAGCGUUGCUCAUAGGGCAUCAUUCCUUUCCGUCUCACACGCAGAUUAGUCCAUUGGUGGUUCUUUCUUUCCUUUUUUUUUUUUUUUUUUUUUGAAUAUUUGGUACAUAGAGGCUCCAACUUUUACAAGGAGAAGGAAAAAUAGGAGAGUUUAAGGGUCAAGACCUUACGGUCAGUCACCUAAAAGCAUCCGUGCCAAUUGAGUUGAGUUUUGGGAACAAAAUUUUGGCCUUUCCAUUAUAGCAGGAUACAACUAAAUGCCCGGAUUAAUUAACUCAAUUUCCAUAAAUUUAAAAAAAAAGAGUAAGAAAUUGGUACCUCUGAUCAAUUCCAAGGGUAGAUAUAUAAUAUAAUUAUUAGUCCUUCAAAUGGAGACGAGUGUCAGUAGACUUAAAAGGAGUCCAUGAUAUUGAUAGUUGGUCUUUUGGUCACAAUAAUUAUUUCGAGAUGUUUGAUUCUUCGUAAUGUGGAAUAACUUUCCUCCAGACAUUCUAAAGAAACAUGAUGGAACAAGUUGCUGUUUGUGAGGUCGUAUUAAUCCUGGUGGGAACCUCUCUUGCGCAAGGAUUUUUGGGUAAUGAAUUGAUCUUUCAAGAAAAACGCUACUAUUUACAAAAACAAGUAUUUUUAUGUUUUUCUUCAUUUGUGUUCAAUUCAAUUCUCUAUAAUGUAUAUUAAUAGUACUAUUUAUCUAGAGGGAGCACCUUCAUGAAUGGACUAUCUCUAGAGGUUCUCCUUCACAUUUGACGCGCAGAUUACGCCAUUAGGCAAUUCGGGCGGCUGAGCGGUCAACACAAGGCAACAUCAAAACGUAAAACAGAUGUAAUAGAUGGGAGAAAUUUCUUUGAAACUCCAAAAUGUGAUUGUCGAGUAGAUUAAUGCGAGUCUUAUGAAUUGAUUACAUUUUCAAUCAAUUCAAUCUCCGGAUAAACAUGCAUGCUAUGCCCAAAUAUAGCUCUGUCCUGGUUUUCACGGUACAAGCACUUCUUCAUUCUCAAAGAAGUUAUUAGCAUACUAAAGAAAGAAAAGGACCUAAAAGGAAAAAAAGAAGAAGAAAAGGAUCUAAUUAUACUAAGAAUCACAAAAGUUAGGGGGUGCUUGGUUCAUGCUCCGGAAUUGAAAUUGGAUACGGAAUGAAAUAUAAAAAAAUCAGUAUGGGUAUAAGCUCCUGAUAUCAUUGAAAUAACUACUGCUUGGUACAAUUUUUAGUGGAAUAGGUAUCAAAAUUAUUAUUGCAUUUUUGCCCUAUCUUUUUCUUUGUUGGCUUGCAAACAGAUAUAAGGAACUUUUUUUUUUCAAGAAAAUAUGCGAUAUCCAAUAUUAAAGAACAACAUAUAGUAGAAUUUGUAGAUUCACAUACCAAUUGAGGUUCAAUGACAAAUUAGAACAGCCAAAAUUGUUCAAAAUACAAAGCAAAUAACAACUUGGGAUCCGUUUAUCUCUAACGGCAGCUUGCUUAACAAAAUCCACUAGCAAGGAGGCAACGACCUUUUCCUUCAACAAUACUUAUUAAUGAAUCCAAUCUCCUUAGCAUUGCUGCAAAAGCAUUGUCUGCAGCACAUCAGGCCAUACUUUCUGAUAAUACCAUAAGAGUUUCCACACACACGGCAGGUGCGAGAGCCACAGCCGUGGUUCUUAGGAUGAGAAUUCCAGAUGUUGGAGUGUCCCAUCUCGAUAUCGUCUUCCUCUCUAUCAAGCUUUCAGCGGCUGCUAAUUUCUGCCAAAGCCAACCCUAAUUACUGAAGGCGGAGGAGGCAGAUUUAAGGAACUUUGUGUGGGGUGGCACCAGACUCAAGCCGGUGGGGUUUCUUUCUCAAGUUGAAGUUGAAUCCCUUGAGAUUGCGGCUGUAAAUUCGGACACUGAUUUAAACUCAGGGGUGAGGUUGUGCAGGAGGAGGAGAUGAGUGGUGGGAGUUGAUGGAGGAAGACUAGAGGGAGGAUGACUGAACGAGGAUGAAGGGGUAAGUGGAUAAAAAAAAUGUUUUAUUAAAUUUAUCUUGGAAUCAAAUAUAGAAAUUAACAAAACCCACCAAUUUACUCGGGAAUGGAGAGUUGACAACUUUUUAGAAUUCAUUCCAAAAUCUUCAAUCUCAUACCUAUUAUCCAAGCACUUAAAAUGGACAUCAUUCCAAAUUCCAAAUCCCAUACCCUCAAACCAAGCACCCUUUAGUUUGGUUGAGAAAAGAAAGUAGUACUUUAGAACAAAGGUAGACGAUGAGAUCCUCGAAAUAACAUAAUUAUGAAAACAUUUACUAUAUAUAUAUAUAUAUAUGAAGAACAACAUUUAUUUGGGUUGAAAUCAACUAUAUAUACAUACAUAUAUAUAUAUACAUACAUAUAUAUAUAUAUAUAUAUAUAUAUUCUAGUAGUAGCACUAGAGGGAGGGAGUGCUCUAACAUUGAUUCGGACUAAAACCAAUCAUCUUAUUGGCAAGGUCGUAAGUGACCCGCAUCCCUUGCUGCUGUAUAUUCCCAAGUAGUGACGCGCCUUCCGAAGUGCUGGCAAAAGCCAAACAGUGCUUGCCACUGGUAUCAACACGAAACAAGUAAUUUGCAGGCCUCAACGGCAGCGUUUUGCCCCCAGAGAAAUCAAGCGACAUCGUUGGAUAGCCGUCUGUGGGGUUUGAGGAUAGAUCAUAGCAAGCGUCCAAUUUAAAUAUGCCUUCAGCGUACCCGCUCGUGGGAGGCAAGGCUUGAGCGUACUUAACAAACGUAUCACGGACCGAGUUAUAAACCUCAUCUGGCAACAGAGUUAUGGUGGUGCCCGAGUCAACUACAAUUCCCCCGCGUCCGUCUUGGCCUAUUUGGUAAGCUGAUGCCGGAAUGGGUACUUGUUCUCCAUUAAUGGUAAUCCCCGUGAGCUCCACGUAGUAAAAAAUCCCACUUGGAUUAAAAAUCAAAGGAACGAGGACUGAGUCACCAGGUGGAGCUGAGUUAAACUCAAGGGUCGAGGACUUGCCCGAGUCCAUAUCCACAAGACAGUAGGAGAAGGACGUGGCUUGAAUUUUAGAAGGAAAGCUUACAGGAGUGCCCCCAAGACCAAGUAUCCCAGACGCCCCCACGCUUUGAUUUGUAUGGGCGCACCCGAUGGCUACUUUGUCAACCGAACCUGAACUUCCAAACGACACCGUUUCAGUGGCGAAUUCUCCCACGACGCUGGAUCCCUCUAAGUAGCCCGCUCUAAACAUACACGGGUCAGCAGUGCAAUUUCGGUUUUCGCCCAGGGAGGCACAUUCCUGGGAUGCGCAGGAUAAAAGACUAUAAGAUGAAGACCCAGAUGGGUCAAAGACCGAACCGGACACGCUAGAACAUCCAUCGCAGGGUAGGCAUUGGAGCCAGUUGAUUUGGCUACCCGUAUCCGCUACCAGGAGGAAUUCUUUUACUGGUUGGCCCACUCCGACCUGAGCUAAGUACGCUCCUCCAAAUGGAGUCAGCGUAGUUUCCAGGUCCUCCGGUUGGACUUGGGCGUCCGGUUUAACGUCAUGAGGGCGGUUGAAGGUGGAGAGAGCCCGCUCAAUUUUGGAGUUGAUGAGCUUGGCUCGGGCUCGGUCACUCGCCAGUCGGGAGCGUACGAGGUCGGAGUAGUUGUUGUUUGGCGGCUUUAUGAUGGAUGAAUAAGGAUGUAGGGAGAGGGACAAAACGGAGGAGGUCGAGGUGGGCUGAGCUUUUUCUGUUGAGAAGAGCUGAAGUCUUUUGAAAACUGAAGCAGAGACUGCUUGAGGUGAAAAGGGACUGAGGGGGAAGAAGAAGAAGAAGAGGAUGAUGAAGAUGUUAAUGGAAGGAAAUGGCCUUUGAGCUUCUCGAGCCAUGUUUGUGGGUUUGGAGCAGAAGAGAAGUGAUGAGAAGUUUGGAACGAGCAAGGGUUUAUAUACACGUCGAUCUGCAUGGAGGGCAUGUGGUUAAUUAAUUUAAGACAUGGCUGCAUUCACAUUUUACAAAGGGUACAUAUACAUUUACUAGUCCUUCAAACGAAGACAUGUUCGGAGAAUGUAGAAUAACUGAUAUUCCUUGUUACGAGACAAGAGUCUAGAAGAAGAAUGAAGAGACCUUUUUUUUUUCAAAAAAAAAAUUCUUUGAAGCUUAAUAAGGAAUUUUUAUUCAUGUUAAAUCCGCGAGAACAGCAUCAGACACCAACAGACCCUUCUUCCCUGAAGAAAUGAAGAGAAAAUUAAACAAGUAAUAAUGGUGGGUGCUAUGGGUUAAUAUAUGCAAGUAAUAAUUUUUCGUAAAGAAAUCAUCAAGGGUUUUACGUUAAAAAAAAAUCUUCAAAGGUUUUACAUGCAACGGAUCUUCUGUCCCACACUCUAUACCACUUUCUAUCUUACUUUGUAUUAUAUUGUCAUUUCUCUUACAUAAACAUCAUGUUUUAGUUCUUUUUUAUUUUCUUAAAAUCCAAUAACUAUUAAUUGAGUAAUACACAAAAUUUAACAAACUCAAAAAAUCAAAAUGCAUAAAAAAAUGAGAUUUUUAUGAAUUUUUUGCUGUAUUUUUUAAUUUUCUAUUAUAUAUUGCUUUUUUGAACUGUUAUAUUUAUUUUUAUUCAAUUAAUAGCUAUUGAAUUUUAAAGAAACAAAAAAAAACUAAAAUAUGAUGUUUAUGUAGGAGAAAUAGUAAUAUAAUAAAAAGUGAGAUAGAAAGUGACAAAGAUUACCAGACAGAAGAUCUGUUGCGGAUUUUACAUGCAAAUUCUUUCCCCAAGAGUUGUGGAACACAAGGAAUUAUGUGGCUCUCUAAACUCACACGGUCCACAAUUUUACCUGCGUGGUCCGGGUCCAUCUCUAAGAAGAAGAGACAGUACAAUUGGAAUUUUUUUUGUAUAAUGAAUGCGAUGGCACUUUCUUUGAACAGAGAAAAAUCCUGCAAAGAGGCCAAUCACCAAAUACCGUAGACGUUCAUCUUGACACAUAAACCAUACUUGAAAUCAAAGUUGAAAAUUCAGAUAAUCGUGUUUCAUGCAGAAACUCCCUUUCGGUAUCGCAUGCAUAUUAGGCGACUAAUUAGCUGUCAACGGUACGCAACAUCAAAACAGCUGAUGUGGGACAGAAGAUCCGUUACGUACACAACAUCAAAACAGCUGCACUUUUACCAUUCGUCAACCAAUCAGACCAUUUCGUCUUCUUGUCCAUUUGAUUUAACCUAGAGAAACUCUAGUCGUCAUUCGUUAAUGCUCUUUCUAGUUGUUUAAAUAAAGAAGAAACUUUAAAUUUUUGGUACACAAAAAAAAAAAGAACAAAUGGCCUUAAUUUGAACUCAUUUAUCAAAAACUUUAAUUGUCUAGUCGCCAAAUCUGUAAAUGUAUAAUUGCUUCUACAUAUUUGUCCCUAGCCUAAACUUUUUAGAACUUUAAAAACAAAUUGUAUUGUACACUGAAACAGUUACAUGUCCUAAAUUAGAGUUGCCAAUGAAAGAUGGCCAACAUUCUAGUUUUCAUAGGAUAUUACACUUUUCUAUGGUUUUCAAUUAAUGAGAACCACGAGCCCAACAUUAUGGAAUAGGGGUUGUAUCAAGGCACCGCACCAGAGGGCUCAUUGCAAUUGGAUAGAAUAUUCUGAUGCAGACUCGUUCGACCAGUCUGCAGGUAAAGCCUAUUGACUCAGUGGCGACUAGUCGAUCAAUCAGACAAACCAAAGAAGUUAACCUUCUUUGAUACCCAUUAAUCAGAGCCCACAAAGACCAGGACUUUUUUCUUGCCAAUUUUCGGUAAGGCAAAAACAAAGCAUUAAAGCUGGAAACAAAAAAAGAAAAUUUCCCCUUUUAUAGUUUUAUUAGGUCAAGCCAGGAGCAGGACUAGAAGAAAGAAAAUGUGUUUCUUCCAUUAAUUCUUCGCAACGUAAUUCUUCCUUUUAUGUGUACACUAAUUCUUCACCAGAUCGGCAGACCUUACGAGUUCCAGCUCGAUCGUGCAACGAGCGCAACUGAUAAAUCAUUACAGCGAAAACGGAGAGGAUUUGUCUUGUACGUAUACCUCAAUUGACAUGACCGAAUAUGUGUGGGAAAAGCUAGCUCAAGGAUUAAUCCAGCAAAAACAAUCAAGACUCAACAUAACUUACUAUCAAAUUAAAAUGAAGACAGCAGGGCUGAAUCCAAUCGGCCUUGUAUUAUUUUGCAAGCAUUCAUGUGGAAAAUGAAACAGCCAAUGGAAUGGAAUGGUCGUACAACUCCCUCCUUGCCAGAACUUUAUUCAUUCUAUAUCUAUCGACGAAAUACAUCAUAUAUACCCUGUUUACUAAUCGAAAGAACGAUUAUUUUUCCUAUCUAAUGUGUAUCUGAUCAUGUAUAGACGCAUGACUCAUGUACGUUUUAAAUUUUAUAUCUAUAACAUGUAUUUAAAUUCGUUAAUAUAUGCAUACGCUGUCAGUGUACAAAAUAUAUUUAUUAAAACAAAAUCUUUUAAUUUAUAAAUUUCUCAAGUUCAUUAUCAUGUUUUCAUGACUAAGUUAACCGAUGAAAAAAGGCACUCAAUUGACGGAACUUUUCAACAUAAGUAGAUAACGUCCCAACAGAAUUCAGCCAAAACUUUCGUCGUCCUCUCACGUGCCCGGCGUGUGGAUUAGAAGCAUUCAGUCCUUCGCGCCUUGCGCGUUAGCUUCCCACCUGGCCUCGUUGCCAGUGUCCCAUGUGCUUCUGCUGCAUUCUCUCUUCCCGCUGCCUUCUCUCUGCAGCUUCUCUCUCUCUCUUUCUUCUGUCAUUCUUUUUCCUCUUUUCUCUUUCUCUUCUUCUUUCCACAACAAUGUUGCUCUGUCCUCUCAAUUUCUCUCUCCUUUCCUCUAGGGUUACGUACAUCCUCAUACUUUGUCCAUUCGCUCCUCCUCCUCCUCCGUCGACACACUGUCUCCCUCUCCUCUAUCGGCUCCUUUUCUACCCAGCAUCAGAGGUCCGCUUUCUUCCACUGGCCCUGGGAUUCCCCUUUCGCCUCCUUCUGCUUCAAGUUCAGCCUCGCUGUUCCCUUUUUUUUUUUUAAUACCAUUUCUCCUCCACCGCCACACCUUCUUCCUCUCAUUUAUCUCUCAGCCUUUGGGAGGCCUUUCAAUUCCAUAGCAAGAUCCUCGCCAUCAUCGGCAUCUCUCACUGCCUUUCCUCCCUAGAUCUCCAAACCCUCCGGACCCAGACCCUCGCCCUUUAUAGGCUCGGCUCCUCCAGAUCUCCAGACCAUCCUUGCUUGGAGGAAACAGAGAAAGAGAACAAUUAAAGCAUCUUCCUUUUCCCUUUUUCCUAACCCUAAGCUGACCCGCCUUUCAUCCCCGCCGCUCUUCUCACACUUCCUCUCCCUUUCCUGCCCUUUCUUCUCCCUAUCCCAUCUUACUACGUAUAGUUUACUUCUUUAUUCACCGGCACCCGAAUUCGAGUAUAAUCCUCCUUUGCCGUCCAAAACAACCUGUGGGAAGUUGGAUAAAGGUUUGCCUUUUUUUUUUCCUCAAUCGGUUUUUCAUACUCUGUUGUCUUAUCUUACGAGGUAAUGGGUCUGGAUUUGAAGCAGGUGCAUCAACGAUUGUAAGAUUUUUCUUGGUUGGGUCUUGUCAUCAGAUGCGUAAAAGGAGAGAUGGGGUUUAGUAGCUGUUUCAGUGCAUUUGGUUCUUGCAAGGGACAAAUAAAGCACAUGUGCCAUGAGGUAAGAACCAAGAAUAUUUCAAUUUUUAGUUUAGGCUUGAAUGGAGGUUUUUCUCAAUUAUUGCUAAAUUUGAGCAUGGUGAUAAUUUUGUUGAUUGGAUUUAACAGUUUACGAAUAAGUAAUUGAACCUGAAUUUAUGUUUCCCGAUUUCCAAUUUUCAACUCUAGAUAUUCCCUAGGCAAUCACAACCUUCAAGCUUCUCAUCAUAACUAUGCGUCCUUAGGAAACAUCUGUUUUUUCUAACUUGAUAAGUGGAGUCGAUCCAUGUAUUCUUAAGGUAGCUAUGUUACCCAGUUUAGAGUUGUUUGGUUCAGAAAAAGCUCCAAAGUCAGGUUUCAAUUUGAGCUUAAUCUAAGCGGGACAUAAGUGCCUUUAGCGGCUCACAACUUAGAUAACAGUUUCAGUUCAAAGAUAUAAGAACCUGAAUUUUUUUUGUGAGAUUUAUACUGCAUAUUUUAGGAUGGGUGUUAUGGUUUCAUCUGAAUAGUGCAUAUACUAAUCUACAACUCUUUUCCAUGAUUUUGUAUAUGAUCACUUCUGAUUCUCUGGUUUUCUAUCUGCUUCUGCAUGGUUAGAGCUUGCUACCAGCAAUGUUAGGCUAUUCUCAUACAACUCUUUGAGGUCAGCAACAUGACACUUUCUCUCCUCAAACUAGAAUAGGAGGCGGCAGUUUUGGAGUAGUAUACAGGAUAUGAUCAAUCUUAGUUUGUGUGUCUGCAUAAGUUUUACUUUUAUGGCAACUUUGAUUCGGAGAGUAAUAUAGAGGAGAGGAAUGAGGAACUAAGCUAUUAUGGUACCUUACCAAUAUCAUUCUUAUGUUCGGUCCUCCUCAAUUUGUUAGCUCUUCAUAGAGGCUCUUAUCCAGUUUUUUGUACUUUUACCUUCUUGCAUCUCACCUUAAAAUUACUUGUUAGAGAAUGAAACAUGGUGCAAUGAUAUUGACAUGUGUGUAAUUCCUUAUGAGCUGGUGGAUUAAAACUUCUGUUGGCUAUUGAAUAAGAUGAGUAAAUUUCUUAUAUCAAGAAUUCAACAAGAAUGAAACAGGCAGACCUUGAUAAUUGUCUACUAUAUGAUGGUUUAUAUGUGUAGAUAUGCAUUCAAGUGUCAUCGAAAAUCUGGAGCUGGAAGGGACAUUGUCUACCCCAUUGAAUUCAAUUGCAUUUCAUCUUAUAUAAGUGGUGCAUAUACAUUUAUCCACAAUAAAGAGAUUAUUGUUCAGCAGUCAUUCAUUGGAAGUUGGAUUGUAUGGCCUCUUUUUUUUUUUUUCAAGUUUUGUUAAGAAAGAAAAUCAAUGCUAAGAUAUUUCACUAGUGGAGCUGGAUCUAUUACAAUUUUCUAUUGAUUGAAUAUCUUUAGCCUCUUCUUGUAAUCUAUCUCAAAACUGAUUUAAAUAUGCAGCUAUGGUACAUUUGCUACUGGGGGUUGUGAUGGUUAUGUUAGUGUGUGGGAUGGAAACAACAAAAAAAGGCUGUAUCAGGUACUUUUUCCACACUGAAUUUGAAAUGUCUUCAACUUCAUGCUGACUGUAGACACCAAAUUUUUGGUGUAAUUUCUUUUACUUUUUAUUCUCAUUUAUCGUGGUUGCUUUUAGUUUUUUUUAGUUUCUAGUUUCUAUUUUUAUUUUUAAGUUUUAGCGUAGAAAAAUCAUGAAAAAAGAGAAAAAGGAAAAUUGUUCACAAAAUAGGUUUAUUUCUUUUUAAAUUCAAUCUUUUGACUUUAUUUAUUUUUUGGUUAGGUUAUUUCGAAAACAAAAGAAAAGUGAAAAAUGAAAAUGAAAAAUGGAAAUUUGCAUUUUUUGUUGUUUUUAGUUUAUUUUUAUCUAAUGUUAAUUAAGUUGUUUUCAUCAUUAAUUAUUAUUGUUUUAUUAUUAUCAUUUUUGUUGUUUAAUUAAUUAAUUAAAAAAUAAAAAUAAAAAUAACAUUUCCAUCUCUGCCGGAGUGCAUUCCCUUCCCUCGACACACACACUCAACCUCCACUACCGCGAAUCACUCCACUACCUCAGCCUCAACCACAAACACUCCAUCUCCAUUCUCCACCUCGUGAUCAUCGACGAGAGCAAGAGAGGGAGAACUCCUCGGAUUGAGCAGGAGAAAGGUGAAGAGAGAGCGAGCCGCGAGCUGUAUUUCUGUUCUGUCCGAGGAAGUCAAGCGAGAGAGAGAGCAAGAGGCAGUCGAGUGAGCUACUGAUCAUCACCAUCUUCACCAGUUCCAAUCGAAACACCACAGCUUCAACCAUCCGCAACCAGGACCAACACAUCCAACCGCGAGCGAGCAGAGAGGAGAGAAACAUCAGCUUUCUGUCGUCUGAGUGAGCUUUCGGUGAGCUACAACAACACCCUCUACCUUGGAAUCAUCGAAGUGAGGAAACCAGCGAGGGAGAGGGAGCUGCCAUUCCAUUUUUCACCCUCAACUAGCCGUGAUCAAUUCAGUCACAACCAUUACAGCUGCAACCACUGAAUUCAGACUAACCAUCCUCGCGUGCGUGAGCUGCCGAGAGGAAAAAUUGCAGCUGCUGUCCGUGUGAGCUUUUCAUCCAUUUCCUUUCGUCUGUAAACUAGAAAGAGAUUGGGAGCCAUAUUGUCUUCAUACUGGUCGCAAGCUAGAGCAAGGGAGAAGGAGAGUUGCGGACUGAAAUUCUGGACAGCCGAGAGUAGAGGAUUUUUGCAGCUGCUAGUUGCGUGAUUUGAGCCUUAAGCUGAGGUAAUUUCUGGACUUAAGCUAGUUGAUUAUGGCUUGAUGAAGUUGUUUAUAAGCAUGCAUGUGAGAUUGUGUGGCUAGAUGAUAGUUUAAGUCACAGAAAAAUCUGUUUGAGAAGGAAGUGAAGCUGCCGAGAGCUUGAGCUGGAAGUUUCGGUUUUUUUUUAAUUUGCUAGUUGUGAUGAUCUGAGCUUAAUUUUGAACUCAACCUGCUAAAUAGUUCUUUAUUUGGUACUGCAUGUGAACGUUAUGGGCAGGAUUUCGGUUGCAUGGCUGGAUUUUUUUUUAUUGGAAGUAUUAGACUGCUAAACUAAUUUUCCAGCUUUGCCGAGAAGCUGAAAUGGAAAUGCAAUUUUAAUUUCGUUCCCCUGAGGCAGGCUGAGCUUAUAAAUGUGAUUAACUAGCUAAGAAGUAGGUGAUUAAGCUUUGCAUGAAGUUCAUUAGUUCGGCUAAGCAAGGAAAAAAUAUGAAACAGAAAACUGCUACAUGCAAGUUCAUCCGAGGGUGGUGAACAGAAUUUCUGGAAUUGUGGAUGAUUAUAGUUGCUGACCGAACUUGAUUUGAACUAGUUAUGAUAGUAAUUUCAUUAAGUAGCCUUGCAUGUUAGUUUUGAGUACUUAGCACAAUGAUUCAACCGAGGUAAAUUCGGAUUUAAGACCAACUACCUGCUGGAAAAUGCAUAUUCAUUUUUUGCUGCACCAGAAAUUUACGGUUGUGUCUUGCUAUUUUCUUCCAUUGCGGUUCCAAACUUUGCUGUUUUUGUUAGAUAGUAAUUCCAGCCUUGACCGAAAGUUGUAGUUUGUAUGCAUGAGAAGCUUAACAGGAUUUUGAGCAUGGGUUUGUGAUUCGAAAUGCUUGAGUGCAGCUUCCAUGCGAACUGCCUAAGCUCAAAAGAUUUGUUUGCUGAAGUUUCAAACCUUUGAUGUUUUGCUAAUUUUUCUGUUUGAAUGAAGUUGCUAAUUUUUCUGUUUGUUUGAAUAAAGUUGCUAAGUUUUCUGUUUGUUGGGUCUGAAUGAAAUUGGUUGGUUUGGAAAAUUUGAUCACGGUUGUGAUUAAGAAGCUUGAGCUUGAGAAGAAAGUGCAGCAGUCUUCGGUUGCUAGAGUAUGUGAAGUAAUUGCAGAAACUUGUUUCAUGGCUAUUGCAUAGAACUUGCAUGUUUUUUCCUUCUAAAUUUUCUACCUGUUGAGGCGAUGGUGAUGACAUAGUUUGCAGCUUAGUUAAAGCUAUGUAUGUGAGCUUGAGAUCUGUUUUUUUUUGGAAAAUAAGAUGUGAGUUUGAAUUGGGUUUCGUUUGAGCAAACAUGAGAGAAAAUAUUGCAGAAACUCACUUUGAAUUUGAUUUACCUGUUUGUUUGGUUGUUAGAUUCAUGCUUUAAUGUGUUGGUUAGAAGAUUUUUCGAUCAAAAUGGUGUUAAGGUUGAGAAAAUGAAAGUCACGGUUGUCUUCUGGGUUGCCGAAAGCUUUCAGCAGAAAUUUCUGCUGCAGAAUGUUGUUUCUCAUGUUGAUUUUCACGUAGCUUGCAUGGGUUUUGCAUGAAAUAAUUUCUGAAAAUUACAUUUUUAACCCCCCAAGUCCCCUCUUGACUCACUAGGGCCCAAGUAAUUGGAACAUUUAAUCAAUUUGAUCCUUUUAAGUUUCUUUUUGUUCCACAAGAGCCCAAGCAUGUUCUAGUAUCUUGUAAUUAAGUCCUAAAAUCAUUGCAACUUCAAUCUUUGUUUGACUUUUCCUUUAUUUUUAAGAUCUUUGAAGUGCUUAAACGAUUUAUUUGGACUUGAAUGUUCGAGUAAUGCUUGUUUUGGGUCUUUAGUAGAUGCUAUAUUUGGAAAUUGAACGGGUUAUUCCGUUUUCUUGGUCUUUAAGCAUUUUUUGAGCUCAUUCAAGUUGCAAUUAGGUGGUUUUUGAUGUUUUUGCUUAUACUUUACUUUUAAAUUGAUGCCUUGACCCCUUUAUUGUUUUGAAGCCAUUUUCCUUCAUUUGCUUACCAUUAGGGGAAGGUAUAACUUUCUUUUAUCCUCUUUACUUCUCUCUUACGUGCUCCUACGUGUUACGUGAAUUGCAUGUCUACUUGGCUUUCUUAAGUUUUCUUUAAUUCCUUUCAUUUUUAAGUCUUUCUUUUAUUUAUGGGGUAUGUGUACACCUCUUGGCUUGUAAUAGAUAGGGCAUUGGAGAGCACUUUGUCCAUUUUUCCCCCUUCCCCCAUUUGUCUUAGUUAGCCCAUGUAAUAGUUUCAUUUGCUUUUGGGGUAUUAUUUGGUUUGCUAUGUGUUUAAUUUGCUUUAUUAAGCUAUUGCAUCUAGUCGAGCAUGCUAAGUGUUAUGUGCUACGUGUUAUAAGUGAUUUUGCAUGUCUACUUGCUUUCUAUAUUUAUAAAUGAAUGUGAUGGAUGAAUGUACGUUUCCACUAGUCCAACGCUAGUCGGAAUUCAUAGAAUGGGCUAGUCCAACGCUAGACCCUUAGGGACUUCCCCUCGUUAGUACAUGUUUGCAUGUUCAUUACAUGUCAUGCAUUUUUUUUAAAUUUUAUCAUUUUGCAUGCCCCUCGAACCCCUUUUCCCUCCAUUUUAGGAUUUUUGCAUUUCAUACUAGUUAUAGGGUUCAUCUGCUUGAGGGUCCCCUUAAAUAUGGGAUAUAGACGAGUGUGGCUUUUUCUAAGCCUUAGCACGCUUGUAUUCCCUCUAUAAAAGGGCAAAUUGAAUCACGAUUUAGGUCUCCCCGUACCCAAUAUGCAUGAAUUCCCUAGGCUCAUGCAUUUUCAAAUCCACUCUACCAUUUUAUACCCUCAUCACACUUUCAUUUUUCCUCCCAUUUUGCACACGUGCAUCUUUAUUUUUUCUUCACUUGCACACGAACACUUUUAUCAUCACUUGCACACAUGCACUUCAUAUUAUCAUUUCACAUACCGUACCUUGCCCACUCACGUGCACAUUUUCAUUUACAUAUUUAUUGUUUUUUAUUACUUUUUCAAACUCAUGUCCUCACAUUGCAUACAUGCAUUUCAUUCAUUUGCAUCCCACUCGCAUUAUUCGUGACCUCUCCAAAGGGUCAUUAUUGGGCUUCACAAUUAAUGUGAUUGGCACCAUUCAACCUUUGAAGAGAAAUUUUCCCCAAUACCCCUAGGUCUAGGGUUUGCAUUCAUAUAGUACAUCCAAAUGUAAUAAAUUUUUUGGUUAAAACAAGAAAAUAUUUGAUUAAAUCACGCAACUAGCCUUGGCUAGGUCGAAGGGGUGCCUUGGAUUUUUAUCCUUGCCUUCCCCUUCGUCAAAUGUGACUCCCGAACCUUUUUCGUUGGUUUACGUGGACUAGGAGUCGUUUAAAAGGGGUUUCUUAAUAUUUUCUCCUAUUUUUCUUUAAAAAUUCAUUUUUAGGUGACUUGGUACACCUUAACUCAUUACCAAGUGGCGACUCCGAUUUUUUACUUCAAAAACCCUUUUUAAACUAUAAUUUUGGGUCAAAUCGUCGCAUUCUCAAGCCCCCAUUUAGACCCAUUUUUCUUUUAAAUAACAAUUCAUUUUCCAAUCACAAAUUGAAUCAAAAAAUACAUUUUCUCAAACCAUUUAUUUAUUUAUCAAAAAAUGGGGCGCGACAGUUGGCGACUCCACUGGGGACUUAUCCAAUCCACUCUCAAAUCUACAACCACAUAAGCUUAAAACUUUUAGCGAGCUAGCGAGCAAAACCGAUUGCGGAACGCUAAAAAUGUCUAUCUGAGCCCGACAAACUAUCAAUGCAAACAGCAAGUUCUGGAGCAGUCCUGUCUACUGCUAUACCAAUCCAUUGGUCCAUAUUAGGCAUCAACAACUCCAUAUCAGGGAAGUCAAUAUACAAUUGAAAUCUUUGUACGCAAAAUCUAGUUGCAAGCGCCGACAAAUGGAAUUUCCAGCAAGAAUCAAGAAAUCAUGUUUUCGCUUUUUUAUAUGCAAGUCACCAAGAACUUGCUCUUGUUCUGUGACUGAAUUAUCAUAGAAAAAGUGGAAUACAAGAUAAGGAUAAGUGGACCAGGUGCGAUUCCAAGUCUUUGACAAUAUUGCAGUAGAGGUAACAUCUCUGGCACGCAGAUAAGAUAAAAUGUGAUGAAUCACGGAAUCAGGCAACCGCGAGAUGAAGUCCAAAGGGGCAAUCUCCAAACCAGAUCUCUCCUGCUCACAUUCCUCUAUUAUUAACCAACAAAAGCGUUCAUUGACCAGUUAGAACUCAAAUUUCAUCUGUCACUCAUUUACGAACUAAUUCCAACUCCAAUAUGCUUGAUAAUCAAAACAGAACCAAUUAGAACUCAAACGUUCAUUAUUCAUUCAUAAUUAUACACUAAUAUGAACUGAAACGUGCUGGAUUAUCAAAGUUAUGCGCUAAUUUGAAACUCAAACAGUUCCUUAUUUAUUGACGACCAUACACAAAUUCGAACUCCAACGUGCUGAUUCACUACAAUUAUAUGCUAAUCAAAAUCAAAAGUCUUCAUCCAUUCAUGAUUAUAAAGUAAUCAGACUAAAUGGUGCAGGAUUAUUACAAUUAAGCAACUGAAGCAUUUAUAGAAAGAAAGUUUACAGAGUACCUGAUUCCAUGAAGGGCAAGCCGGCAAAGACUUUGAAUCCCGAAGGCGAACCUGAUUAUAUCAGUAAAUGUUAUAAAGUUAGCGAGGAAAUCUAUUUAAAUUAAGCAAGCCAUAAGAAGAUUGCAAAUUCCAGCUGACUUUGUGAAUUAUAAUGUUGAGCAGAAAAUAAAGCAUGAUCAUAAGGAUGACCAAAAGUACCUGAAAAUAAUUAAUAGCCUCUGUAAUUUAGCCCCAAUUCCCGGAACAUGUAGACGACGGGAGCGACGGUCAAUUAAGAUUAGCCACAUAUUGUGGCAAGUACGAGGGAGGAAGGGGUAAGGGGUAAGGGGAGAUGGUCAACUAAGACCAGCCACAUAUUGUGACAAGUAUGAGGGAGGCAGGGGUAGAACCCCUGACCUCCAACAUCACCAAAGAGGGUGAUGACUACUGGACCAAAUGGCCAGUGGCGAGAAUAGAGAUACUACAUAGCAUGAAACUGUGAAUACACGUAGUUGGGUAGUAGACUACUAGUUUCUUUCAUUAGUUUUCCUUGACAAAAUAUUUUUGGCUCCGUUUGAAUUAAUUACUUUUUUUUUAUAUUUUUAAAACAUUUUACUGCAACAGUGUAUAUGAAAAAUUUUGAUUGUAAAUUUUUUUGUGAUAUUUUUGAAUAAAUUUUUAAAAUAUAUUUUGGAGUACCUUUUAAAAUUAAAAUAUUUUUAAAGUACUUCUUAAAAAUUAAUACUAUCACCCACAACCACAAAUAACCACCAACACCACCUCCACCACCCACUCCUUCCUCCUUUCUCUUCCCCUCUCUUCCCUUUCCCUGCCCCACCCCCUUAAUCUGGCAGCAACCAAAGGCUGCGAUCUGGUCGCGGCCAGAAAGUCUAGUAUCGACUAGAUUGCGGCCUCUAGUCACAACUAGAGACCUUGAUCUGGUCUUUGGCAGAUUGAGGGAGGAAGAAAUGAGAGGGGGGUAUUGGUGGUAGGCGGGGAUGGUGGUGGGUGGUGGUGGCGAGUAGUGGUGGUGAUAGGUGGAAAAUGUUAUAUAAUUCAAUUUUAAAAAUUUUUUUGUGUAUAUUUGUGAAUUAUUUUUUAUAUAUUGUAUGGAUGAGAUGUUUUUGAGUUGUUUUAUUUGUGUAUUAUUCUAGCAUUGUAUUUGAAAAUUUUGUUUUUGAAAAAUAGAUUUUUGGAUUUUUUAGUAGAAAAAUAUACUAUAUCAAUUUGAUGUAUGUGAGAUAAAAAUGUUUUGAAAAAUAUGAUCAUAAAAAAUAUUAAAAAAAAUUUCUGCAGAAAAACUUCAAGGAAUUUCUAGAGAAAAAGAAAUCCAAAAUCCUAAUUUUUUCCUUUUGUUUUUAGAAAAGGAAAAAGUGCAAGCCAAAAAGCAAUAAAAUGGAUAACUUCUUUUCAUAUGAAUAUAUGAUGUUAAGUACUUUAUGUACUCAUAAAACCCAUAUUUUGGUUUAAGAAAAGCAAUACCUAAUGAAAUUGUAAAAUGAGAACGGUAACAAAGAUUAUAGUCUAAAGUACUCGUUUGAUAGGCUAGUGCAAUUUGGCGUUUCACUUGUACGCUUCAAAUGCACAUCAUCAAUCAGGUAUCCGGACGCUUGGCUAUGCAACUUGAACAAUCAUCACAUGUAGAACUGAGGGGGCGCUUGGUUCAAGUUUAGGAAUUGGAAUUGUAAUUGGAAUCAUAGACUCUGGUUUUGGAAUUAAAACUUUUCAUUCCAAUAUCUUGCUUGGUUCACACAUUGGAAUUAGCAUUAUUCCAAUUCCUGAUGCUUGGUUUGAUGAGUGUUUCGGAAUUAAAUGCAAUUAAAUUCCAAAUUUACCCCUGAUAUAACAAUUCUUCUAAAACAAAAGAAUUACACAUACGACAAAUUAACAUUUUCAUAAUUGUAACUACAAUAGUUAUUAACUUUUUAAAAACAUAAGAAAAUCAUAAAUAAUAAAAAAAUUAAUACCAAAAAUAAAUAUAGUGUGCUGCAUUAACAAGGAGUAAAUUCCCAAAAAAAGGAGUUUUUAAACAAUCACCCAAAAGGUGACGAUUUUUGAGUCUCUUCCAAAGGGUGAAAAAUGCAUCCAAGGAAUGUGUUCUUCCAAAUAUGUUUUGGAAAUUUGUUUAAAUAUGAAAAAUUGGUUAAAUAGCCCAUAAGAUACCAGCUCUUUAUGGAAACUGGCAGGUUUUGUACCAGCUUUAUGGAAAAAUUGAUUAAAUAGUGCCCAAAGGAAAACUAGUAUGUUUUGUAUUUAACAUAAAUUAAAUAUGUGAAAGUUAAAAAAAAAAAUUGCCCAUAAGAUACCAGCUCUUUAAGGGAAACUGGCAGGUUUUGUAGUAUGUUUUGUACCAACUCUUUAUGGAAAACAUACCAACUCUUUAUGGAAAAAAUUGAUUAAAUAGCGCCCAAAGGAAAACUAGUAUGUUUUGUAUUUAACAUAAAUUAAAUAUGUGAAAGUUAAAAAAAAAAAGAAAUUACUCAUAAGAUACCAGCUCUUUAUGGGAAAUUAGCAGGUUUUGUAUUUAAUACGCUAUUUAACCAAUUUUUUUAUUUAAACAAAUUUACGAAAAUUAAAAUAACGUAUUUGAAAGUUGCAUUUUUAUUUGGAAGAACGCAUUUCUUGAAUGUGUUUUUCAUCCUUUGGGAAGAGACUCAAAAAUUGCCAGCCUUUAGGAAGUUAGUUUAAAAACUCUUUCUUUUUGGAAAUUUACUCCAUUAACAAGUCGUUUGUGGUUCCUACAUUAGAUAAUGAUAUGAAAUAGAUCUCUCCUUACAUAUAUGAACAAAAGAAGGAGACUCAAAUCACAAAAGCUAACCAUACCAAAUACAAAUCAAUUGUCUAAUCCAGUCGAGAGUGCCACUCAAUGUCCACAAUCUCCAAAAGACUAAUCAUAUAACCAUCUAACAAUCACCAUAACAAAAAGAAAUUGCCAUCAAAUCAUCACUUUCCAGCUAACAAUAAUUUUACUUCAGCGAGUAGAUGGAGGAUAAAGGAGGUUAAUUACAUAUUGUCGUUUCAUUUCUGCAGGAAGAUUGUAGAACACAUGAAGCUUGGAAAUCUGCUCCGAAAGUAUGUCGGCUGCAUUCAUUACAUCUCCACUCGGUAAAGCAAGUUUCAUUAACUCAGCAACAACUUGAUCUCUUCUAUCGGAGACCAAUUGCUCACGUUUAUCCUCAUUUGACAUGGCUGCUGCCAUAGUUGUGAAAUUAGCUUGAAUUCCCUCCACGAAAUCUCCAAAUUUGCUGGUGAGAAGUUGCAAUGAUGCAUCAAGAUCACCCCUUGUUGUUGAUGCAGAUUUCAUUUUUUUUGACACAUUUGCAAUGGGAGGGGAUUGUUUCUUUUGUUUCUUGGAAUUUCUUGUGCUUGUUGAGCUUGGUUGAGUUGAUUGCUCCAUGGAAUUUACUUCAUCUUCUUCUACCUUAUCAUUAUCCGAGUUUGACAUAGCAUCAAGCCCUUCAUCUCCUUCCUCCAAAUUUUGGACAUCUUCCAUAUCUUGGACAGCUUGUGCAAAAUCUUCAGCAACAUUUCCAGUGGCUCUGUCUCUUCCAUAUACAAUUUCAAGAUCUCCUAAAUAUGGAAAUUUGACAUCCCAAAGGCCCUUCGCAUCCUUAUGAGUCUAGAGAUAGAAUAGAAAGAUAAAUGAUAAUCUUAAUAAAAGGUUGAAAAAGAACAUAUCAGAAUGUAAAAAGUAAUCAAUUUCUUACCUUGCACCAAUCAUCAUACCACUGUUUUUCACAAGAAAUCUUUUUCUCAGCAUCAUUCCAACUACAACCACUUUCUUUGCACAUUUCAACAAUUGCAUGGAACCUAUUUUUCAGCCACUUAACUUUUGAUUCAAUAUGUGGGCUGACUUGUUUGGUAAAAGUAGGUUGCUUACGCAAGAUAAUUUUAAGCAAUUCGCUCAUAUAAUUAUUUUUAAAUCCUCCAUCUGAUUUCCACAUUGGAUCACAAGCCAACUCUUGCAAUGAUUCUAUGAGCACUUUUACCUCUUCACCAGUCCAAAAACAUUUAUUUUUCCCUCUUCCACGUACAAUUUCAUCAUUCUCCAUCCUAUCAUUUAGAAGUCAACCCAUAUAUAUCAAUUAAUUUUGAUACACAAUAGCAUAUAACUGAAAUUUAUAAUAUAACAAAACACAUAAAAGAACAUACAAUUAAAAGUCAAUCCAAAUUUAAAAGAACAUACAUCAAGUGUCAAUCUAAUUCACAAAUCCACUACAAGAGUACAUCAAAUGUCAAUCCAAAUUUAAUGAGUCUAAGAGCUAAACAUCCAUUCAUAGCUAAAUACUAAGUCCAGCCCUCCAAUUGUCAAACAUUUCAUGUGCUAAAUUAUUUCUAAAAUUUGCCCAUUGAUCACUUGGCAAAAUAGUGGAUAUGUACUCUACUUCUUCAUCACUGUCUUCAUCUUCACUUUCAUUUUCUUCACUUUGUAGUAAUUCUUGUGGAUCAAAAGUCAUGAACUUCCUUAUCAAGUUGUGCAGCAGACAACAUGCCAUAAUUAUUCGCACUUGUGUUUGAAUUGGAAAAAAUGAAGGGGAUGCUAGAAUCUUCCACCUUCCUUUUAGCAAUCCAAAACAUCUUUCUAUGAUAUUUCUAGCUUUAGAAUGUUUCAUGUUGAAAUAUUCCUCUGGUCUUUGUGGUCGAUAACCAUUGAAUUCAUUAAGGUGAUAUCUUUGCCCUCGAUAAGGGGCAAGAAAUCCAUCAGCAUUACAAUAUCCAGCAUCCACCAAGUAAUAACAACCUUCAAAAUUCAAUCAUGUACAAAUUAAUACUAGACUACCUUAUUUUCGAAAAAAAAUUGAUUGAAUGGUAUUGAAUACUGCAAUAUAUGUUUACCUUGUGGGACUCUAAGACCAUUUGGUCUAGAGAUAGCAUUUCGAAGCACACGACCAUCAUGUGCCGAACCUUCCCAACCAGGCAAGACAUAGAUAAAUUGCAUAUUAGGAGAACAAACCCUAAUACAUUCGUUGCAAUACUUCCUUUUCUCGUUCGGUAUCUUGAUUUUUGUUCGGUGGGUGGUGUCACAUCUAUUAAUGUCCCAUCUAAGGCACCUAAACAAUUCUAUUUUAACAAAAAUAAAAAAUAUAAAUGAGUUAAAAUGUCUAUAUUGGAUAGUUUAGAUGAAAACAUACAUUUUAUUAAAUGAUUGUAUUUUAAUGUUUGAAUUACCUUAAAACAUUUCCAUCUCUCAUCUGUGCAAUCUUCGGUAAUAGGCUCAGGCUUCUUAAGUAAUAUAGUAUGCAAUUUCAAAACUGCUAGGAGGCAAAGAUUAAAUUGACGACUCACCGUUUCUCUACUUCUCCAAAAUAGACCACAAAUUGUUCUACUUUUCUUGUGGUGAGCCAAAACAUAUACAAACAUGGCAACAAUUUCUUCUAUUGACAUGUUUCUUGUAGCUUUCAAACCUCCAGUGUCUCUAAUCAUUUCACAUAAUAUCCCAAAUGUUCGUCUAUCCAUACGAAGUUCGCUAAUACAAUAAGCAUCACUCUCCCUAGUCAAAUUGAAUAAGUGUUGCAUGCGCUCAGUGACUUUUUCUUCUUUUGAUUUUAUUUGGCGUCUUCUACUUUUGAGAUGAAUGAAUAUUAACUGGUACCACAUCAUAAACAGUGCAAUAACAACCAUUAUCAUUCCUGAUAAAAUCUGGCUUUGCCCUCGAUAUUUUUUGCGUCUUCUGUUUUCAAUAGGCAAACGUGGCAUCUUUGUCUACAUAACAAUAUGACAACCAAACGUAAGUAUUCACCAAACUAGAUUACGGCAUCAAAAUCUUCAAAUGCAUUAAACAUCAAUUGAUCUUAUUAAAAGGGCCUAGACAUGCAUCAUACAUCCGUAAACACAAUGAUGUAUAGAUAUAAAUAAGCAUAAACAAACGAAAUUGAUGGUUGAAACUUGAAAUCCUAAUGUACGAAUAACUAUGAAACUGAAAGCUAUUCAAGCAGACAAUUUUACAAACAGGUACAGGGCAUGUAGAAACCCACCCAAACUAUACCAGUAUUCACGGAUCAAAUAACCAAAAGAUCAAGAAUUGAUUGACCUCCAUUGAAUGCGUAAUCCAAGAAAACACAUUAAAAAAUAAAAAUGACAAAUCUAGUGACAUUAACAUUUAUCUCACCAAAAAAAAGAACAAAAUAAUGUAUUUGUUGAAGUAAGUGAAUUAAAAUACAUGUAUUACAACAAAAUACAUGGAUUAAAAACAUGUAUUAUUCUCACCAAUAAUAGUGUAUUUGUUGCGGAAAUAAUUUCUUAUUGGAUUUUGUGACAAAAGAAUAUGAAUUCAUGGAAGGAAGACUUUUUUGCAAAACUGACAGAUUGUGUAGCGUGAGUGGAAUAAAAGUGAGAAGGUGAUGGGUCCAGAGCAUAGCAUUUUGGUCCAGUUAGUGUUAUUGUAUCAGAUUCCCUUCUUUUCUUCUUUAUUUUCAGUUACCCAGUGAGUAGCCUGAAAAAAACAGAGAAGAAGAAAGAGAAAAGCUUGCAUACGAAAAGAAAAUUGAAGAGGCAAGGGAAUUUGUAAUCCACUGACCUGGGAUCAAGGAAUUCACCCUAGUAGAAGACUCUUCAACUCUAGAAUUCGUUGUCCAAGGAGAGUCGAAAGCCACUGAUCAUUAUGGUUGUCCAAUCGGUGAAGUAGAAGCGGUAGAAAAUCUGAUGAAGAAGAAGAACAGAAGGUGCGGAGUGUAAUGAAAAAAAAAAAGAGGGUAGGUUCGUCAUAAAUGUUUUUGCUCGGGAAUGAGUUGGGGGUUUUGUCCAAAACCUCCCAAUUUACUCAGGAAUGGUGAAAGUCCGAUUUUUUAGAAAUGAUUCCAGAAAUUGCAUUCCAAUAGACUUAACCCAAGUAACAAAUAAGGGGUUCAUUCCAUUAUUUGAUUCCCAAACCUUUUAACCAAGCAGCCCUGACUUUAUUCUAGUAUUUUAUAGGAAAAUAUGUACUCAAUUAGCCUGAAGUGAAUUAAAUCAUGAUUGUCAGCAUUUUAAACUUUUGAUGGUGAAGGCCUUAAUUGCUUGACAACUCCCAUGAUUAUUAUGGCUAAACUACUCAAGUUGCCUCGUUAUACUUCAAAAAAAAAAAUUCUCAAUUCAACCUUUAACACUAAGAAGUGACUUGAUUUAAUCCCUUGGAAAUAACUCAUGUCAUUUUUAUGUUGAAUUAGUAGCCAAAAGAUUUAAUCGUGUAUUUGCAAUAUAACGGGGUCUAUGUGUUAUAUUAACGAUAUAUUGUUGAUGAUGAGACUAUAUGAAUUCCAAUUCUUUCAGCAAAGGUGAUAUCCAAACAACAAAAUUUCUUCAAAGACAUCUAAUAAAGAGAUUACCAAGUACCCAUGUUAUUGUUUAAGCAAUAUUAGUAUGUUUUCAUAAACAGCAUUUUAUUUGGGUUGAAAUCAAAUCAACACCUAUAUGCAUUUCAUAAACAGCAUUUUAUGAGGGAUGAAUGAGGAUGUAGGGAGAGGGACAAAACGGAGAGGUGGAGGUGGGCUGAGUUUCUUCUGUUGAGAAGAGUCGAAGUCUCUUGAAAACCGAAGCAGAUACCGCUUGAGAUGAAAAAGGACUGAGGGUGAAGAAGAGGAAGAAGAGGAUGAUGAAGAUGUUAACGGAAGGAAAUGGGCUUGCAGCUUUUCGAGCCAUGUAAAUGUUUGUGGUUUUUGCCGCAGCAGCACAACAAACAAAGAAGAGAAGUGAUGAGAAGUUUGGGAGAUGAGCAUGGGUUUAUUAUAUACACGUACGUUGAUCUGCACGCAGGGCAUCAUCAGUAGCGUGUUACUAUUAUUUAUUGAAGGUCCAUAUCAAAAAAAAAAUUUUGAUAACAAAGGUCCAUAUCAAUUUAAUUUCCAUAGAAAAGUAAAAGUUUGGUACCUUAACAUACAAGAAAGAGAGUACAUACACAAUUAAUCGCCAGUCCUUCAAAUCAAGAUAUGUACAAUGUGUAAGUGAGAAUGUACAACUGAUAUUCCUAGUCUACGAGCAGGGGCGGAGCCAGAAAAAAUUCUUAGUAGGGGCAAAGCAACACUAAAAUUUUUUACCUACUCUUUUUCUAGUUUUUAAGCAAAAAAAAAAAAAAUCACCAACAAGUACAAAUGAUACAUAUAUUCCAUGAAAAAUAUAAAAAGACAAAUUCAAAAUUAUUAAUGUAAUAAUAAUUUUAUUUCAAAAAUAAAUUACACUAUUUACAAUUGCUCACUGCGAGUUUUUAUAUUUUGAUAACUAAUUUGGUUAUAGAAGUAAGAAUGGCUCUCGGUUGUGGAGGGAAAAUAGGGGACCAGUGGAAGGAAGGGAAAUUGGGAAGUGGGGACAAAGGAAGUGAAUGAUAUGAUUGGAUGAAUUGAUCAAGAGAAAGAGUAGCUAGCUGCUUGGUUGUGGAAGGUAGUGGCUCUCGGUUGUGGGGAGAAAAUGGGGGACCAGAUGAGGGAAGGGAAAUUGGGGAGUAGGGCCCAAAGAAAGUGAAUGAUAUUAUUGGUACUUGCUAAUUAAAAUGAAAAGGCUUUUUUUAGCUUAUUUCAAAUGGAAUUUGUGCCCCACGUAUCUUUUUAGAAUUUUAGUUUAUGAAGUAAUUUAAAAAAUCACGUAAUUCUUUCACAUUCUUUCUAAAAAAACUCUGGGGGCACAUUUAAAAUUAUAUUAAAAUUGUACAAAUAUUAUAAGAAUUUAAGGGGGCAGUGGGGGCCCGUUGCUCCCAGUGCCCCCACCUUAAGGCUUCCUUUAGAUGGAGAGAAAAGGAUAGAAAAGAAAGUGACUAGAGAGACAGCCGUACCAUUUCCUUCAUUUGGGAGUUUUAACAUGGACAGGAGAGAAGGGAAACAAACGGAUAGGACCCCCUCCAAUUGGUGAAAAUUUUUCCGCCCAAAAGUGGGAAGAAAAGGACGGAAACUUGUUGGGCGGCAAAAGGUAUUUUUAAUAUGACAUUUUUUGUCCUUUAAAAGCUGAUACAAAAAUUUAUUAUUCCCAAUAUAUCCUAAAGUUCAUUAGUAAAACCACCAAUUCAUCUUUUUCUCAGCUCUUACUUUCAAUACUUCCAACGAGAUUCACCUGACUUUCUUCCGUUCAACACCCACAAUUCAAUAACAGGUAUUUUUUUGACUCAAUCUCUUCUUUCUUUCUUUCUUUGCUCAAUCUUCUUUAGAAAAUUAUGGAAAAAGCAUUUUUUGUGUAGAUUGUUAUUGUUUAUAUUCUAAAUUUUUUGUUCAUUUUCUGUCAUAAAAUUCUUGUCUGCGGGAAAUCUUGAUCUUUAUAUUAUUGAUUUGUGAUUAUAUCUUGCAUUGUUAUGGUACAUGUAAGUUUCAGUGGUGAUACAUGAAUAUGAAAUUUAAAUGCAUACAUUUUGUUUGUUUAUUUGCCCGUGUAAGCUUCAAAGUGUAAAUGAUCAACACAGAGUCCAUAAACAAUAUGUUAGCCUUUUUUAUUGUAAUAAUGCAUGUUUCUUUGAAAUGAUUACAAAGAUAGUAAUACUAGAAGUAUUGUUUUGAAUGGAGGCUGAUGUACAAAAACAAAAUUAGAGAUCUCCUUAUUCAUCAUCCCCAAGAGGUUUCAUGCUUGUCCCUGCUCAAGUUACGAUCCUGGGUAUAUAAUAAGCCUUAAAUUACCUUAAAAACAGUCCAACGUAAGGAUUGGUAAUAGCAGAGUUUAAAACUGUCGAAGCUUCUGCAAGUCUGGCCAUGUAAACUUUGUCUUUAGAUAGGUACAAAAAUUCGGAAUUCAAUUAUCUCAAACCCACAGAGUUCGACAAACUUGACACAUUCUUUAAAUUUUCAUACAUUGCUCUGUUAUUACAAAUAAAUUAAUCAAGUAUACAAUAUAGUAGGUAAAAAAAAAACUUUGAAUCCUACAUUAUUAGUAGAUACUCACGGUGCAAAAAAAAAAAGUUUCACAAGAAUUGAGGGCUAUAAUAGUCAUACAAAUUAUGUACGUGCAAAAUCCCAAGGGAACAUACAUCUUCAAAGGCACCACAUUGCUUUUCUUGAUAUUGGUUCUUGACAUGCAGCCAAACCAGAGUCUAUGACAUGCAGCCAAACCAUACUCAACCAAUUUAUAGUGGUGAAAUACAAUCACAAAUUGUGCUUGCUUGUUGUAUAUUACAUAAUUUUCUCAUGGAGUUUGAUCCUGACUUGGAGUACAUUAAUGAAGUGGAUGAGGAAUUGGCACGUCAAUCUCCAUCGGAGGAAGAAAGUGGUGAUAUAAGUGCUGAAAAAGAUCAUGCUCAAGGAGAGAGUUUAAGGAAUGAAAUAGCAAUGCAAAUGUUUUGAAGAUGAUUCCAAUUACCCACUGGUCAUUUCAUGUUUUGAAAAUAUGUAGAUCAUUGGGUGUAUUUUUGUUUAGAAAUUGAUAGAAUUGCUUUGUAUCAGGAGUAAAUGCUCAUGUGAAUUCGGAAAUCUGAAUGCAACAGGAAACCUAGUUGCAUUCCAUGUAAACCUGGUUUAUGUAUAUUUUGAGUUCACUUGGUUGCAUGGCAUUUUAUUUACUUGGGUUGCAUUCCACGUAUAUCUUGUUUAUGUAUUUUAUGGUACCAUGCACCUCCUUGCUUAAUUAUUUGUUGUUUUCACCAAUCUUUGCUUCAGAAAGCAAACAGACUGGCUAACAUAUAUAUGGCUGAAACCUGAGUUUAUCACUAAUGUUUCAGCUUAGCAAGUGGUAAACCUGAGUUUCAACUUAGCAAACUAAAGCUAAAAAUAAUAGACAGUUGAGCAGCUGUUAAAGCUAAAUAAGAUCUCAUCAGGAUGGCACUCUACUUUUACAUCACUGCUUCCUUCUUCUUCAGCCUGCAGUCUUUUCUUGUUAAGAAUUAUUACUCUUUGGGUUCAAGGAUAUUUCCCAAAGAAAUUAAAGGUUUUAGAUUUAUUGUGUGUGAGUAGGUUUAUGUAAAAAUCGCCGCAUUUCAGCUUCCAAUUCAUUCUUACAACAAUGUGAGUACAAGAUUUGGGUGAAACUUGAACCAAUAGAGGUAAUUACCGUGAAUUAGAGUGGAGGAUACAUUUAUGAGGGAGUCUCCAACGGACAGCUGAAAAGUGAAGGAGAGGUAAACGGAUUAAAUGAUUCAAAGUAAAAUGCUCAUAAAUAGCAAAUAGUUUGUUCAUCUAAUGGAAGAAACUCGUAAAGAGCUGGUAUGUUAUGAACAAUUUUUUUUUUUUACUUUCAAAUACUUCAUUUAUAUUAAAUACAAAACAUGCUAGUUUUUCUUUCGUAAAAAUAUUUGUGUAACGGCUUUUGAAUUUUGUUUGCAAAUAUUUAUGUAUUUAACAUAAAUUAAAUGAUUCAGAAUAAAAUGCCCAUAAAAACUUGGGUACUCCGUUCUUAUAAUGGAGGAAAGCCAUAAAGAACUAGUAUUUUAUUGAAAACGAGUUUAUUUUUAGUUUAUCCGAUAAAUAAAUUUGUUAGUAAUAUUUUUUACAUUAAAAACGGGUUUAUUUCUAGUCUUGGUUAGUAAUCGUCAGUCUUAUUCAUCAAAAUGGUAUUGGAAUGAUUUUUCUUUUAAAAAAAAAAGAUCAAAUGAUGAAAACUUUCAAUAUUAAAUGCCAGACGUCAUGCUUGUCAGUGCAUUAACUAUCAACAAAUAAAAUUUUAUAAACAUUAGGAUGGAUCAAGUGGUGAAGAAGUGAAGAUUGAGAUAAUCUAAUAAUUAGUAGUAAACUUGAGUUUCAGCUUAGCAAAAACACUAGCUGAAACAUGUACAAUGGCAUUUCCGGUCAAUAUCAAAAUCAUAUGUCAAGAAUACCUAAAAGAUACUACAACGACUUGAGGCGAUUUACAUGCAUGCAAGAGAAUCGAAGUCCAGUAAGAAAUUUGUUGUAUUAUUCACCUUGUGGGAAUGCAUAUGCAAUUGUUUUAGAAAUUUGUUUUGUCCAAAUAUUCUAUUUAUGGGAACAAGAAAGCUAAUUUUUGGACUUUGAUUUACAAAUAGAAAGGGCAAAUAUGUAAAGUUGUAUUCUCAUAAAAUCCUUUCUUUCCAUAUCUCUCCAACUCUCAAAUAAGAGAAAGAUAUUUCUUUUCUUUUUUUUCAUUAAGCUCCCAAACGAAAUAUGCAUCUUUUCCCUUCUCUUCCUUUCUUUCCUAAGCUAUCUUUUCUUUUCUUUUCUCUUCCUUCAUAAACUCCCAAACUAAGCCUAAAUCCGCCCCGGUCCACGAGUGUCGUUACCGUAUGAAAGAAAGGGAAAGAACGAGAAGAUUUUAACAAACUUUAGUAGGCUUUUAAUCGAAAUUUUGAGUUCUGGGAGGGAAGACUUUUUAGAGUCUUGCAGGCAUCCGCUGCAUCGCGAUAGUUGGCCUUUCUGAUACAGGCAUAUCAAAAAGGAAUCAAAUUGGAAUUUACGGUGGAAACAAGGUAGAUGCGCCAACGGCAGCUGGUGUUUCAUUUUCAUGAUGCAAACUGGGGAAAUGUUGGAGCAUUAUGCAUCCAUGCCAUUAGAUAUAUAGUGGGCUUGAUGUUAUACAAUGCAAAUUUUCUUAAAAAAAAACUUUAAAUCAAAAUAAAUCUUGACCUAUCAAUUAUUGAUUUAAGCUAUCAAAACAUUGGCAUGUAACAUGCAAAUAAGCGUUGCUCAUAGGGCAUCAUUCCUUUCCGUCUCACACGCAGAUUAGUCCAUUGGUGGUUCUUUCUUUCCUUUUUUUUUUUUUUUUUUGAAUAUUUGGUACAUAGAGGCUCCAACUUUUACAAGGAGAAGGAAAAAUAGGAGAGUUUAAGGGUCAAGACCUUACGGUCAGUCACCUAAAAGCAUCCGUGCCAAUUGAGUUGAGUUUUGGGAACAAAAUUUUGGCCUUUCCAUUAUAGCAGGAUACAACUAAAUGCCCGGAUUAAUUAACUCAAUUUCCAUAAAUUUAAAAAAAAGAGUAAGAAAUUGGUACCUCUGAUCAAUUCCAAGGGUAGAUAUAUAAUAUAAUUAUUAGUCCUUCAAAUGGAGACGAGUGUCAGUAGACUUAAAAGGAGUCCAUGAUAUUGAUAGUUGGUCUUUUGGUCACAAUAAUUAUUUCGAGAUGUUUGAUUCUUCGUAAUGUGGAAUAACUUUCCUCCAGACAUUCUAAAGAAACAUGAUGGAACAAGUUGCUGUUUGUGAGGUCGUAUUAAUCCUGGUGGGAACCUCUCUUGCGCAAGGAUUUUUGGGUAAUGAAUUGAUCUUUCAAGAAAAACGCUACUAUUUACAAAAACAAGUAUUUUUAUGUUUUUCUUCAUUUGUGUUCAAUUCAAUUCUCUAUAAUGUAUAUUAAUAGUACUAUUUAUCUAGAGGGAGCACCUUCAUGAAUGGACUAUCUCUAGAGGUUCUCCUUCACAUUUGACGCGCAGAUUACGCCAUUAGGCAAUUCGGGCGGCUGAGCGGUCAACACAAGGCAACAUCAAAACGUAAAACAGAUGUAAUAGAUGGGAGAAAUUUCUUUGAAACUCCAAAAUGUGAUUGUCGAGUAGAUUAAUGCGAGUCUUAUGAAUUGAUUACAUUUUCAAUCAAUUCAAUCUCCGGAUAAACAUGCAUGCUAUGCCCAAAUAUAGCUCUGUCCUGGUUUUCACGGUACAAGCACUUCUUCAUUCUCAAAGAAGUUAUUAGCAUACUAAAGAAAGAAAAGGACCUAAAAGGAAAAAAAGAAGAAGAAAAGGAUCUAAUUAUACUAAGAAUCACAAAAGUUAGGGGGUGCUUGGUUCAUGCUCCGAAUUGAAAUUGGAUACGGAAUGAAAUAUAAAAAAAUCAGUAUGGGUAUAAGCUCCUGAUAUCAUUGAAAUAACUACUGCUUGGUACAAUUUUUAGUGGAAUAGGUAUCAAAAUUAUUAUUGCAUUUUUGCCCUAUCUUUUUCUUUGUUGGCUUGCAAACAGAUAUAAGGAACUUUUUUUUUUCAAGAAAAUAUGCGAUAUCCAAUAUUAAAGAACAACAUAUAGUAGAAUUUGUAGAUUCACAUACCAAUUGAGGUUCAAUGACAAAUUAGAACAGCCAAAAUUGUUCAAAAUACAAAGCAAAUAACAACUUGGGAUCCGUUUAUCUCUAACGGCAGCUUGCUUAACAAAAUCCACUAGCAAGGAGGCAACGACCUUUUCCUUCAACAAUACUUAUUAAUGAAUCCAAUCUCCUUAGCAUUGCUGCAAAAGCAUUGUCUGCAGCACAUCAGGCCAUACUUUCUGAUAAUACCAUAAGAGUUUCCACACACACGGCAGGUGCGAGAGCCACAGCCGUGGUUCUUAGGAUGAGAAUUCCAGAUGUUGGAGUGUCCCAUCUCGAUAUCGUCUUCCUCUCUAUCAAGCUUUCAGCGGCUGCUAAUUUCUGCCAAAGCCAACCCUAAUUACUGAAGGCGGAGGAGGCAGAUUUAAGGAACUUUGUGUGGGGUGGCACCAGACUCAAGCCGGUGGGGUUUCUUUCUCAAGUUGAAGUUGAAUCCCUUGAGAUUGCGGCUGUAAAUUCGGACACUGAUUUAAACUCAGGGGUGAGGUUGUGCAGGAGGAGGAGAUGAGUGGUGGGAGUUGAUGGAGGAAGACUAGAGGGAGGAUGACUGAACGAGGAUGAAGGGGUAAGUGGAUAAAAAAAAUGUUUUAUUAAAUUUAUCUUGGAAUCAAAUAUAGAAAUUAACAAAACCCACCAAUUUACUCGGGAAUGGAGAGUUGACAACUUUUUAGAAUUCAUUCCAAAAUCUUCAAUCUCAUACCUAUUAUCCAAGCACUUAAAAUGGACAUCAUUCCAAAUUCCAAAUCCCAUACCCUCAAACCAAGCACCCUUUAGUUUGGUUGAGAAAAGAAAGUAGUACUUUAGAACAAAGGUAGACGAUGAGAUCCUCGAAAAAUAACAUAAUUAUGAAAACAUUUACUAUAUAUAUAUAUAUAUAUGAAGAACAACAUUUAUUUGGGUUGAAUCAACUAUAUAUACAUACAUAUAUAUAUAUACAUACAUAUAAUAUAUAUAUAUAUAUAUAUAUCUAGUAGUAGCACUAGAGGGAGGGAGUGCUCUAACAUUGAUUCGGACUAAAACCAAUCAUCUUAUUGGCAAGGUCGUAAGUGACCCGCAUCCCUUGCUGCUGUAUAUUCCCAAGUAGUGACGCGCCUUCCGAAGUGCUGGCAAAAGCCAAACAGUGCUUGCCACUGGUAUCAACACGAAACAAGUAAUUUGCAGGCCUCAACGGCAGCGUUUUGCCCCAGAGAAAUCAAGCGACAUCGUUGGAUAGCCGUCUGUGGGUUUGAGGAUAGAUCAUAGCAAGCGUCCAAUUUAAAUAUGCCUUCAGCGUACCCGCUCGUGGGAGGCAAGGCUUGAGCGUACUUAACAAACGUAUCACGGACCGAGUUAUAAACCUCAUCUGGCAACAGAGUUAUGGUGGUGCCCGAGUCAACUACAAUUCCCCCGCGUCCGUCUUGGCCUAUUUGGUAAGCUGAUGCCGGAAUGGGUACUUGUUCUCCAUUAAUGGUAAUCCCCGUGAGCUCCACGUAGUAAAAAAUCCCACUUGGAUUAAAAAUCAAAGGAACGAGGACUGAGUCACCAGGUGGAGCUGAGUUAAACUCAAGGGUCGAGGACUUGCCCGAGUCCAUAUCCACAAGACAGUAGGAGAAGGACGUGGCUUGAAUUUUAGAAGGAAAGCUUACAGGAGUGCCCCCAAGACCAAGUAUCCCAGACGCCCCCACGCUUUGAUUUGUAUGGGCGCACCGAUGGCUACUUUGUCAACCGAACCUGAACUUCCAAACGACACCGUUUCAGUGGCGAAUUCUCCCACGACGCUGGAUCCCUCUAAGUAGCCCGCUCUAAACAUACACGGGUCAGCAGUGCAAUUUCGGUUUUCGCCCAGGGAGGCACAUUCCUGGGAUGCGCAGGAUAAAAGACUAUAAGAUGAAGACCCAGAUGGGUCAAAGACCGAACCGGACACGCUAGAACAUCCAUCGCAGGGUAGGCAUUGGAGCCAGUUGAUUUGGCUACCCGUAUCCGCUACCAGGAGGAAUUCUUUUACUGGUUGGCCCACUCCGACCUGAGCUAAGUACGCUCCUCCAAAUGGAGUCAGCGUAGUUUCCAGGUCCUCCGGUUGGACUUGGGCGUCCGGUUUAACGUCAUGAGGGCGGUUGAAGGUGGAGAGAGCCCGCUCAAUUUUGGAGUUGAUGAGCUUGGCUCGGGCUCGGUCACUCGCCAGUCGGAGCGUACGAGGUCGGAGUAGUUGUUGUUUGGCGGCUUUAUGAUGGAUGAAUAAGGAUGUAGGGAGAGGGACAAAACGGAGGAGGUCGAGGUGGGCUGAGCUUUUUCUGUUGAGAAGAGCUGAAGUCUUUUGAAAACUGAAGCAGAGACUGCUUGAGGUGAAAAGGGACUGAGGGGGAAGAAGAAGAAGAAGAGGAUGAUGAAGAUGUUAAUGGAAGGAAAUGGCCUUUGAGCUUCUCGAGCCAUGUUUGUGGGUUUGGAGCAGAAGAGAAG
This 67163-nucleotide long non-coding RNA is filed under the name Coffea arabica (coffee). RNAcentral describes it as "long non-coding RNA (CARA_LNC002744)". Lineage: Eukaryota; Viridiplantae; Streptophyta; Magnoliopsida; Gentianales; Rubiaceae. The record is from RNAcentral.